This 50669-nucleotide long non-coding RNA is filed under the name Citrus maxima (pomelo). Its description in RNAcentral is "long non-coding RNA (CMAX_LNC001281)". Lineage: Eukaryota; Viridiplantae; Streptophyta; Magnoliopsida; Sapindales; Rutaceae. The record is from RNAcentral.
CAGUGGCUUCGCAAUAUACAAGCCUACUUAGUGGAGGCGAAAUGGUACCAUGGUAAGUACACGCCAACUCUGGGAGAAUUCUUGGAAAAUGGAUUGGUAUCAAUAGAAGGCCCUAUGGUUACAAUGACUGCAUACCUUUCUUGGACAAAUCCAAUCAUUGAGAAGGAACUAGAAUUUUUAGAAAGUAAUCGAGAUAUAAUUCACUGGUCAUUCAAGAUUCUUCGUCUUCAAGAUGAUUUGGGAACUUCAUCGGUAUUUUUUCUUUUUUCUUUUUUUAACAAGACAGAAAUUGAAUUAAUCCUCUAUAUAUGAAUUGAUUGUAGAUUUUUUUUACCCAAUAAUUCAUCAGGAUGAGAUACAGAGAGGGGAUGUUCCGAAAUCAAUCCAGUGUUACAUGCGCGAAACUGGUGCCUCGGAGGAAGUUGCUCAUGAACACAUCAAGGAUAUGAUGAGACAGAUGUGGAAGAAGGUGAAUGCAUACAGAGCUGAUAAAGAUUCUCCCUUAUCGCAAACUACCGUCUGUACGGAAACGCAGGUUGAGUAAUUACUAAUACUGCGACUUAGAAAUAUAAAUGUGGUGAUAAAUAAAUGCGAAGAAAAUAUGACACAAUAAUUUAGACAAUGCUCAAACUUGAUCGUCGUCACCACCUUAGUCAACAUAUCUGCGGGAUUCUCUGUAGUCUUGAUUUUCUGAAGAAGAAUCUUCCCCUCAUCAACAAUUUCCCGCACAAAGUGAAAUUGUACAUCGAUGUGCUUCGUACGCGCAUGUUAAACUUGAUUUUUUGUUAAAUGAAUAGCACUCUAACUGUCGCAAUACACAUUAAUGUGCUCCUAUGCAAAUCCCAAGUUUUCAAGCAAGCCUUGUAACCAAAUAGCCUCUUCAACAGCCUCUGUAAUUGCCAUGUACUCGGCCUUUAUGGUCGUCAGUGCAACUGUAGAUUGUAGUGUAGACUUCCAACUGAUUGGCCCUCCAGCAAAAGUAAAUACAUACCUGGUGGUUGGCCGUCGUUUGUCCAAAUUACCAGCAUAAUCAGAAUCAACGUACCCGAUCACACAUUGACCAAGUGUAUCGUCUCUCUCAAAUAGUAAACCAACAUCCACAGUCUUCUAAAUGUACCGUAGAAUCCAUUUCACAGCUUGCCAAUGUCCUUUACCAGGAUUAUGCAUAUACCUGCUCACUAUACCAACUGCAUGUGAAAUGUCAGGCCUUGUACACACCAUUGCAUACAUCAAGCUACCCACUGCAUUUGAAUACAGAACUUGUAACAUGUAUUCUCGUUCUGCAUCUGUUGAAGGAGAUAGUUGUGCAGAAAGCUUGAAAUGAUAAGCCAAUGGGGUACUCACAGGUUUUGUCUGCUCAGUCAUGCCAAACUGUUGUAGUACCUUAUUCAAAUAUUGCUCUGAGACAAGCUUACUUUGCCACGAGCUCUAUCUCUACAUAUCUUUAUGCCAAGAAUCUUCUUAACUUCACCUAGAUCUUUCAUUUCAAAUUCUUGAUUGAGUUGAGUCUUCAACUUCUCAAUCUUAUCUUUGCUCUUUGAUGCUAUUAGCAUAUCAUCGACAUACAAUAGCAAAUAAAUGAAAGAUCCUUCUUGUAGCAUGCGAAAAUACACACAAUGAUCAAAUUUAUUUCUUGUGCACCUUCGCCCUUUUAUAAAUCGAUCAAAUCGCUUGUACCACUGCCUUGGAGAUUGUUUCAAUCCAUAAGCGACUUUGUCAAUUUGCAAACUCAAUUUUCUUUUCCAGCAACCUUGAAUCCAUCUGGCUAAGUCACGUAGAUUUCUUUUUCCAAAUCACCAUGUAAAAAUGCAGUUUUUACAUCAAGUUGAACUAGUUCAAGAUCAAAUUGCGCAACCAUGGCUAGCAAAAUUCGAAUAGAUGUUAUGCAAAUUUUAUUGAACUCGUAAGUGCACGAAUCUAUUGUAGUAUAGAUCAAUGGUGACGAGUGUCGAUCCCAUGAGGAGGUGGAUUUUAAUUGUGUGUAGAAUUAAUUUUUUAAAUGGGUGGUUGGAUUUGUGGUGAAAAUGAUUUAGAUUAUCUUAAAAUUCAAAUUAAAAUGGCAAGAAUAAAUUGAAGUGAAAAUAUAUUAAAAUGACGUACUUGGGUAUCUGGAUCUGCAUCAACAUGCCAAUUAAAUCAUGAGGGGGAAUUCACACCUCAUGAACUACACUCUAAUGAAUAUGGUGCUAAGGGCUUAUCGUGCCAAAUAAUAAUAACCUUGUACUAGAGGGGAAGAGAAAAUAAAUUAGAGGGGAAGAGAAAAUAAAUUUACCAAAUAAAGCCCAUGGCACAUGUUGAGACUUCACCUUCAACCCAAGCUUGAAAGAAAAUUAGCUACUCAUAAUUGAACUAGGGGCAAAAUGGGAAUUUAUUAAAAUACGUAGAAAAUAUAAGAUAGAGAGGGAAUUACAGAAAAUGGAGCCCAAAAAUGGAUUCAGAGAUCUAAAAUUAGGGGGGAGAGGUCCCCUUUUUAUAGAUACAUUGAGUAAAUCAUGGCCAUCAGAUUAAAAACAGUUUGGACGCUCAAGAUUGCGCCAUGUCAUCAAUCAACAGUAUGUGGUUUGGCCACGCGUUUUGAACAGUGACAUGGUUUGACCACGUGGUUUGAACAGUCAACCGGUUUGAACAUUGACGCGGUUUGGUUGAAAAUAAUCCUGUGUAUAUGCAUGUAUCAUACGCGUAAUUUUUGGUCCACUAACAUGCUGCCACGUCACCGAUCAAUAGUGCAUAAGAAUUCUCUCCAAUGGAAUCGUGACACCUCAUCAGUCAAUACCACAUCAUCGGUCAAUGCCACGUCAUCGAUCCGUCUAUGUGAAUAGUGUCAUGAACAGUAACGUAGACAAUACCGUACAUGUGAACAAUGACAUUUUUCCUUUUAUGCUCCUCCUAAGGUUUUCGACUGUCCUGAGUUCAAAAGUGAUGUCCGUUUUGCCAUCUGAUUUCUCGUUCAUUGUGAAAUGACCAUGAUGCCCCUAAAAUACAUAAAAUACUUAAUUAAAAUAAAGCACACAUAAUUAAAUUACAAGAAGCUUAAAUACAUAGAAGUAAGGGUGUUAGUAAAACUUGAAGUGUAAAAUGACGAUUUUCGCCUUUAUAAAUAUACAUUUUCUAACACUCAACACCCCCCCCAACCAGCUUAUUGCUAGUCUCUAGCAAAUAUAAUGAAAACAAAAUUCAAAUCCAAAAUGAUUUUUUUUUUUAACAAUCAUGUUUAUUCAAUCAGACUAAUGAUAGUAAUCAAAUAAAAGUAUAAGCAUUAUAUACAGUCUAAAGAAACAUUACACCCACAUCAACCAUCCACAUGAAUUAACCCAGUAGACUUUGUCACAGUUACUUUCAAGAAUGACAUGUUAAACCCCAAAAUCUCACUGGAAAUAGUGACACUCUCACAAAGAAAUUAAACCCAAUAAAAAUAGUCACUCCAAUGAAUGGUAAUUGAGAGAAAAUAAUUAAGAAAUGAUAUCACAUGCUCUCACCAAGAUGAAAGAAAUAUGCCCUUAGCUUAGAAAUAAUACGAUCUCAAGUCAAACAAAAAUACUAGUCAACCCAAUUUAUUUAUUUAUUUUUAUUAUGCACUACUACAUCUUUUUAGCCCAUAUAACUAGCUUCUGCUUCAGACUAUAGUUCCCUAAAAUCAUUAAGGACUUUUAUUAGGACGUAACGUAGGCUAGGGACAUGGCUAACAAAUGAGAAAAAAUAAGGAAAACAAAGUGUAUGUUUGAGAAAAAUGCAGAGAUUUUUUUUUUUAAAGUUGCAAGGUGGAUUUCACCUAUUAUUGUUAUUUAUUUAUUUUUUUAACAACAAUUUUUUUUUUUGCUUUUGUUUGGCACAACUUCACUGAACAAAAUAAUUAUUUACAUUUUUCUCAAACAUAAAUAGGUGAUGGAACUUGUAAGAUAUCGGGUAAUACUUCAAAUCGGAGUGGGUCAAGAUGAUAAGUUUGACAAAGAAAAAGUUUUUUUUUUAAAAGGCUCAAAAGGGUUAAUUAUGGAUAUUUCACAAAAGGGAUGGCUAGAAAGGCUCAAACGGAUCAAAGAUGGCCUUUCCAUCGUCUUUUAGGGCUCUAAAUAAUCUUCCAUAUCUACAGUUAGAUGGGCAUCCAGAUGUAGCAACACACAUUUUUUUCUUCUUUUUUUUUUAAUUUUACAACUUUUUUUUUAAGGGUUAAUUCAAAAGAAAUCUAGAGAUCGUGUAUAAAAUAAUAAACUGUUAAACUGUAUGAAGAAUGGGCAAAAUGGUUACUCUCCAAGAAAAAUGAUAGGCUCAAAAACUCACUUGUUACUUAUUCCGACAUGUUCAUUCCUUCAAGCAACUCAUAUUUAUCUCCGACAUCAACAUGUAGAGUAGCAAACAUGGCAUAACAUCACUUAAGACCAAAGAUAAUACAAAUACUAAAAUUUAAAAUUCAUCAUGUCAUCCAAUGUUAAAACAAAUCACACAAUUUUUUUUUCAAACAACAUUCUACCCCCCAACCUAUUCUAAACAUGAAAGGAAAAUAUGCAUGCAGAAAUGUGAAAAUGAUGCAGAAAAACUAAUUAGAAAAGUUACACUUAAAAUGAUAGAAAAAGAAAAUAGUUUUUUUUUUUUAACUAAGAAGAUGCGUUUCUAGAGGCACUACACUCCAUAUUCAGCUAUCUUCGACUCAAAAAUUUGAAAAUGUAUAUUUAUAAAGGAGAAAUUAAAAAGAAGAAGUAAAAAAAAAUGAAUAUCAAAGCUUAAUAAAGAAAAAGAAAAUGUCUGGAAUUUUUUUUUUUUUAACGAAGAAGAUGUGUUUCUAGAGUAACUACACUCCAUAUUCAGCCAUCUUCAACACAAAAAGUUAGCAACAAUUAGUUUUUACAACAAAAAAUCAGUAAAAACUUAACCAAGAUUCCACAAUUGUCGACUAUUCCCUACCCCCAACCGGAACGAGACAUUGUCCUCAAUGUUUUAAAGGAAAUAAGUAGAGUUUAGAAGACAUCACCUGGGUGGUGCAACAUAGAAGAAAAAUAUUUACGGGCGGAGAGUUAAAUCUAAUUUGUACUUCUUACUGCGGCUACUAUUACCAUCAUUAUUUGGACGCUCCAACACAAAGGUCUAGGGGUCUGGCUCUGGUCUAUAAGCUUGUAACAGAUCAAGUAGCUUAUUAGCAGUGUGAGCACAAAUAAAAAGAUUUUUCGUUGUGGAAGGAAUGAAAUAGUUUUUUAUUGCAUGGUUAAGAAAUACGAUGAAGCCAUCAUAAAAGUUAUUGACAUUUAACAAACCGAUGGGUUUCUGGUGAAUGUGCAGAUGAGCCCAAGAUACUAGUGUGAUAAGUGCCUCUAGUGUUGCAAGAUCUCCUAGAAGGAAAAUAAAAGCAUCAGCCUGAUUAAGCAUUUCAAUUAUUCUUUCUUGCAUAUCUGAGACGACUAACUCUUCUUCAAUCGGUGAGUUAGACAAACUGCCCAAAGAUUUUAGAGCUCUUGGGAUGAUGCCUAGCACUUGACUUCCUCUGAAAAAAGCAGCUUCUGAGACCAAUUUUGAUAACCCUCGGUUACCUCCUCCAUACACCAAGUGUAAUUUUCUCUCUGCUAUGCUUCGACCAAGAUCUAUGGCUGCCUCAACGAACUCUUUAUGUUUGCCAUAGUUAAAUCCAGAAAGCACACAAAUGUUCUUGAAUUGUCUAUUGGGAGUAGCUGCCAUUGGAAUAUUUCUAAAAAAUAAUUUGUGUGUGCUUAACAAAAAGUCAUAUUUAAGAAUCUUGGUGACAAUGGGUCACAACUGUGUAUGAGGUGGCAUGUCAGUGUCAAAUAACGCGUAAAGCACAUGGCUCGCGAGUCAAAAAGGAAACAGUAAAAAGAGAAAGAAACAAUGAUAAAAUAAAAUUAGUAAAGACAAUAAUGCAAAUGAUAAAACAACAGUGAAAUAAAAUAACAGUGAAGUAAAAGGAUAUUUACAGGUAGUUGUGAUUGUGGCUCAAAUCUUCCUUUGGUUUUACGUCUAAAAACGGCUUGAACGCCCUCUAUAGGUCGAGGAUAGGCUUCCCAUCCAGUUUUCUUGUAAACUGGCAAACAAGGUCGUUUAUAGUCAGAUUCUCGAGACUAUAUCGUGCAUGCUCUUUCUGGAAUAAUGGUCAUAACUGGAGAAUUGCUCCUUGUACAUAUCCACUGGGAUGCGUUUCAAGAGACAAAAUGAUAUCAUCCAAUGACUCCUUAUUCAAGCCAUCCCUAAUGAAUUGAAUCUUAUUUUCCCUGUUAUCAGACACCAUUCCUAAAGAACAUGGAUUUUUAUUGCAUCUCAUUCUGGCACAUUUAUGACAAGCAACCGAAAUUCUUCGAGCUCUUCAUUUUCUUGCAUAAUUUCCUUUACCACAACCAGGCAUGUAUGCAAUAAAUUUUAGAGGUAACUCACCUGCCAAUCGUACUUUAGCCUCGAUUAACCAACGGAUGUCAGCAGGUAUGUUAUUCCUCAUGAGCAAUCGCAUGCGUUCAGACCGAGCUUUAUAGAUUGUAAGGACGGCAUUCUGAGGAAGUGAAGGGAAUCGAUUGUGAAGCUUUACUAGAAUCUCGUUUCUGUCCAUACCUUUGCCUCAGAAUAUCAGUUAUUAUGGGAAACUGAAGUAACCGACUUGAUUGUCACGGAGUACCGUUAUCCGCCACUUCACCGGGGUAACAAACUAAAGCACACAAACAAAGAAAAACAAACUAAAACACAUAAAGAAAAUUACAAUUAUCCUCUUAUUGAAUUUACCUCAAGCUCCAACUGGAUAUUGUAGACACUUCUCUCAAUGUCUCUGAGUUGGCUUUUUAAAUCCUCAACAUAGGAUACUAACUCUGGUGGUUGCAGAGCUCAAAUACGAUGUGUUUUCCUAAAUCGAAUCUGCAUUUUGAGAUGAGAUUUUAGACGUUGAAGUGGUUUAAGAAUGUCCAGGAGGAAUUGUUUAGCUAUGGAACUCAUGAUUAACAAUGAUAAGAGAAAACUUAAUGGUUAAACAAACACACUUAUGCAAAAAUAAUUUCAAUUAGCAAAAGAAUAAUAAAAAGAAAGAAAAAAAAUCAAAUCACCGAAAAGAAAGAAAGAAAAAACUCAAUUCAAAUCUGGUGGGUCACUCAAAUUUAUUUCGGUGUCCUCUCCAUGUGGUUGGUACUCUAGAUAUAGCUUUAAUCUUUGACCAUUAACUUUAAACGUGACACCGUUCUUUGGGUCCUUAAUUUCAAUUGCCCCAUAAGGAAAAACAGUAUGAACAAUAAAGGGGUUAGACCAUCGAGAGCGUAACUUACCUGGGAAUAGGUGCAAGCGAGAAUUGAAUAAAAGCACUUUCUGACUUGGAGUGAAAGAUUUUCUCAUAAUUAGCUUGUCAUGGAAGACUUUCAUUCGUUGCUUGUAAAUUUUGGCAUUUUCGUAUGCAUCAUUGCGAAUUUCUUCAAGUUCUAUCAGUUGUAAUCUUCUUUCUGAGCUAGCUUGCUGCAUAUCAAAGUUGAAUUUCUUGAUGGCCCAAUAUGCACGAUGCUCGAGGUCCACAAGUAGGUGGCAAGCUUUUCCAAACACUAGCCUGUAGGGUGACAUCCCAAUCGGGGUCUUGAAAGCCGUUCUAUAUGCCCAUAAUGCAUCAUCAAGUCUUAAUGACCAAUCUUUCCUGUCUGGCCUCACCGUCUUUUCUAAUAUGUGCUUUAUUUCUCGAUUGAAGAUCUCAACUUGGCCACUGGUUUGCGGAUGAUAUGGGGUCGCCACUUUGUGAGUGAUUGAAUACUUUGUCAAAAGAGCUUUGAAUGCUUUGUUACAAAAGUGGGCACCACCAUCACUGAUUAUCGCUCAAGGGAAUCCAAAGCGUGAAACAAUGUUGCUUUUCAAAAAUCCUAUCACCACCUUGUGAUCAUUGGUUCUACAUGAAAUUGCUUCUACCCAUUUCGAUACGUAGUCAACAACAACCAAUAUGUAUUGAUGGCCAAAAGAAGGGGGAAAGGGUCCCAUGAAGUCGAUACCCCAUAUGUCAAAAAUCUCAACCACUAAAAUUGAAUUUAGUGGCAUCAUGUUCCUUCGUGUAAUGCUUCCCAUUCGUUGACACCUAUCACAUGAAGAAUAGAAAGUGUAAGCGUCUCGAAAUAUAGUUGGCCAAUAGAAACCACAUUGUAAAACUUUAGUAGCUAUUUUUUUAGUACUGAAAUGACCUCCACAAGCUUAUUCAUGGAAAAAUGAAAGAAUAUUCUGAAUUUCAUUUUCUGGGACACAUCGUCUAACAAUUUGAUUUGCACAAUACUUGAUCAAAUACGGGUCAUCCCAAAAGAAAUUCUUUAUUUCUGCAAAAAAAAUGGCCUUGUCUUGCUUGGUCCAAUGCUCUGGAAGUUGACCUGUAACAAGAUAAUUCACGAUGUCACCAUACCAUGGUAAUACUUCCACAUUCAUUAAUUGUUCAUCUGGAAAUGACUCAUUCAAUGUUAAUGGUUCUGUAAUUGUGUCAAAAUGGAGACGAGAGAGAUGGUCAGCCACAACAUUUUCUGUGCCUUUCUUAUCUUUAAAUUCCAAGUCAAAUUCUUGCAAAAGUAACACCCAACGAAUUAGUCUAGCUUUUGCAUCUUUCUUUGUGAGAAGAUAUUUAAGAGCAGCAUGAUCUGUGAAUAUAAUUAUUUUAUAACCAAUGAGAUAAGAUUGAAAUUUCUCUAAUGCAAACACUACUGCUAACAUUUUUUUUUCAGUAGUUGAAUAGUUCAACUGUGUAUCAUUCAAUGUCAAACUAGCAUAGUAAAUAACAUGGGAAUUCGAUCAACUCUUUGUCCUAAUACUGCUCUUACUGCAUAAUCAGAUGUAUCACACAUGAGCUCAAAUGGUAAGUUCCAGUUUGGGGGCUGAAUGAUGGGUGAUGAUGUCAACAACUGCUUUAAUUUUUUAAAUGCCACAAUACAUGAAUCUUCAAAGAUAAAAGGUACAUCCUUAGCAAGUAUAUUGCAUAAGGGUCUAGAAACUUUGCUAAAAUCUUUAAUGAAAUGUCGAUAAAAACCAGCAUGCCCAAGGAAAGUCUUACUUCUCUGACUGUUUUAGGUGGAGGAAGAUUGGAAAUGAGAUCCACAUUGGCUUUGUCAGCCUCAAUACCUUUGCUCGAAAUGAUGUGACCGAGAACAAUACCUUGUUUUACCAUAAAAUGACACUUCUCCCAAUUUAAGAUUAAGUUCUUCUCGAUACAUCUCUGCAGAACUAGUGUUAGAUGAUGUAAACAUUGAUCAAACGAGUCACCAAAAAUAGAAAAGUCAUCCAUAAAGACUUCAAAUAAUCUUUCAACCAUAUCAGAAAAAAUGCUUAACAUGCAUCGUUGAAAUGUAGCAGGUGCAUUACAUAAUCCAAAUGACAUCCUCCUAUAUGCAAAAGUGCCAAAAGGUCAAGUGAAAGUGGUCUUCUCUUGAUCUUUUGGUGCUAUGGGAAUCUAAUUAUAUCCUGAGUAGCCAUCUAGAAAGCAAUAAAAUUCAUGACUUGCUAAUAUAUUCAUCAUUUGAUCGAGAAAUGAUAAAGGAAAAUGGUCUUUACGUGUGACAGAAUUCAACUUUCUAUAAUCAAUGCAUACACGCCAUCCUGUAGUCACUCUAGUGGGUAUCAAUUCAUUAUCAGCAUUGGUAACUACUGUGAUUCCUGACUUUUUGGGGACAACUUGUACAUGAUUGACCCAUGAACUAUCAGAAAUUAGGUAAAUGAUACUUGCAUCUGAUAGCUUAAGGACUUCAGUUCUAACAACUCUUUUCAUAUUAGGAUUUAACCGACGUUGCAUUUCCCUAGUAGGUUUAGCAUUUUCAUCAAGGUGAAUGUAAUGCAUGCAGUCUAUUGGGUUUAUACCUUUUAUGUCCGCUAUGGUCCAUCCUAAUACUCCUUUGUGCUCUUUUAAAACAUCCAACAACUUCCCUUUUUGUUCAUCAUUUAGGGAUGAUGAGAUGAUUACCAGUAUAGUGCUUUCUUCUCCCAAAAAUGUAUAUUCCAAAGUGUUGGGUAAUGGUUAAAGCUCGAGUUUCGGUGGUGAUUCUGAUGAUGGGAUGAGUUUUUUCUCUGAUGGUGCUAGUUGUUCAACUCUUGACUUCCAUUUAUUAGUAUCCAUGGAUGCUGCUGAGUCAAGUAGAGCAUUAACCCCAUCGACUGAUCUGUCAAUAUCAAAAUCCAAACCAAAAUGAGUUUAAAAUGUUUGUAAAGGAUCAUCACUAAGGUUUGAAAGAAAAAUAUUAUCAACUAAUGCUUCUAUUAAAUCCACAUCAACAAUUUCAUCAUCUGCAUUGUGAGGUUGUUUGGCAAUGUUGAAGAUGUUUAGCUCCAUAGUCAUGUUGUCAAAGGACAACUGCAUAUUUCUAGUUCUGCAUUGAAUGUGAGCAUCCGCAGUUGCCAAGAAAUGUCGACCUAGAAUAAUGAGGAUGUGCUUCCUUGAAUCCUGUAUUGGUUGAGUGUCAAUUACAAUGAAAUCAACAUGAAAAUAAAAUUUGUCUACCUGGAUAAGCACGUCCUCCACAAUACCACGAGGUAUUUUCGUGGACCGAUCUGCAAGUUGUAACACCAUUGGAGUUGGGUGUAAUUCUCCCAGUCCAAGUUUCACAAAUACUGAAUAAGGCAACAGAUUUACACUAGCUCCUAAAUCCAACAAAGCAUUCUCAAUUGUGUGGUUCCCUAUACUAUAUGAAAUAAUGGGGGAGCCUGGGUCUUUGCAUUUUAGAGAAAUUUUAUGUUGGAGUAUAGAACUAACGUUUUCUGUUAAAAAUGCCUUCUUUUGAACGUGAAUGUUUUUCUUUUUAGUACAAAGGUCUUUAAGAAACUUGGCAUAAGAUGGAACUUAUUUUAUAGCAUCAAGUAAAGGGAUGUUAACACUUACCUGUUUGAAGAUUUCAAGAAUCUCACCUGUGGAUUUUCCCUUCUUUCCUUUAGCUAACCUAUGAGGAAAUGGAGCUUUGGGAACAUAUUCUCGUGGGUUGGUUUCUUAUUUCUCUUCCGAUAGUGAAUCCUCAACAUUCAUAGGUACAAUUUGAUUUUCUUUUGUCACCGGCAUCUCCACUUUGUUAUCGACUUCUUUUCAUUUUUGCAAGGUCAUGACUGCUUUGACCUCUCCAUGCUGUUGUGGUUAACUGGUACUUACUUCAUGCACUCCUUUAGGAUUAGGCACUGGUUGACUUGGAAAUUUACCUUUCUCAACAGUCAUUGCCAAGGUCUGAACUAAAGAAGCAAGUUGUCCCACCAUCUUCUCGAGGCUUGAAAUUGAUUGGGCUUGUGAGUUGAAGCCUGCUCUCAUCUCAUUUCGUAGUCCAUCAAUGGUGCGGUUCUGUUGUUCAAUCGUAGAGUGAGUAACAUUCUUGAAAUUCUGGAAUGCAUCCUCCCAUGGUCUGGGUUGAGAGUAGUUCUGGUUCUGAUUGUAUGGUCUAAAUGGUGGUUGAGAGGCUUGAGGAAUUUGAGGAAUUGGUUGCAUUGGUGGAGCUGGAGCUGCUGGUCCAUUCUAUUGGAAUCCUUGAGACCAUGAAAAAUUGGGGUGGUCUCUCCAUCCAUGGUUAUAUGUAUUGGAGUAUGGGUUGUAAUUUGAUGGUUUUCUCAUUACACCUAUGGCGUUGACUUGAUCGGAGUAUGAGUCAUGGUCAUGUGGCUCCGUUGAUUUAGCAGUCGAUAACGAUGGAAUUUGUCGAGAGAGACUUUCAAUUAUCGCUUUGACUUCUUUAAUUUCUGAACUUGACUCGCCAAUGUGAACCUCAUUCACUCCCUUAAUUCUUCUAGUAUUCCUGAGUGAUCGACUCCGUUGUUGGGAAUUAUCCGCUUGUCGCUGGAAGAAUUCCUAAAUCUCUGAUGUACUUUUUGACAUUAACUCUCCUCCACUUGUUGCCAUUAGCUAUUCUUGAACGUUCGGCAAUAAUCCCUCCAAAACGUAUUGACAUUGGUGUCAUUUCUCGUACCCAUGAUGUGAACACUUCAAGAGUAGCCCAUUGAAUCGCUCCCGUGUUUCGAAAAACUACUCGUCUUCUCUCUGGGUAAACUCUGAGAUUUCCCUGCGAAUAACAUUAGUUUUAUGCACUAGGAAAUUUUUAUUCAAAAAUUUAGUUACCAUUUGUUCCCAUGAUGUAAUGCUAUUAGCAGGCAAAAUAUUUAACCAUGAACGAGCUCUAUCCUUUAGAGAAAAUGGGAAUAAUCUAAGUUUAACAUCAUCUUCUGAAAAAUUCUCAUAUUUAAAAGUUUGACAAACAGCAUGAAAAUCAUUCAGAUGAUUAUAUGGGUCCUCAUUUUCUAAGCCAUAGAAUGUUGGGAGACAAUUUAGCCAUGGCAAGAAUAAAUUGAAGUGAAAAUCUAUUAAAAUGACGUACUUGGGUAUCUGGAUCUACAUCAACAUGCUUCAUGGGCUAAAUAUUCCUUAUUAAUGCCAAUUAAAUCAUGAGGGGGAAUCCACACCUCAUGAACCACACUCUAAUCAAUAUGGUGCUAAGGGCUUAUCGUGCCAAAUAAUAAUAACCUUGUACUAGGGAGCCGGUGAAAUCAGGGUGGUAUCUAGACAAGAUUAUUAUUAUUCGUUGACGAAAAGUCAAAACGUCCACAAAAAUUAGAGAGGAAGAGAAAAUAAAUUUACCAAAUAAAGCUCAUGGCACAUGUUGAGACUUCACCUUCAACCCAAGCAUGAAAGAAAACUAGCUACUCAUAAUUGAACAAGGGGCAAAAUAGAAAUUUAUUAAGAUACGUAGAAAAUACAAGAUAAAGAGAGAAUUACAGAAAAUGGAGCCCAAAAAUGUAUUUAGAGAUCUAAAAUUAGGGGGGAGAGGUCCCCUUUUUAUAGAUACAUUGAGUAAAUCAUGGCCAUCGGAUUAAAAACAGUUUGGACGCUCAGGAUUGCGCCAUAUCAUCAGUCAACAGUACGCGGUUUGACCACGCGGUUUGAACAGUGAAACGGUUUGACCACGCGGUUUGAACAGUGAUGUUGUUUGGUUGAAAAUAACCUUGUGUAUAUGCAUGUAUCGUACGCGCAAUUUUUGGUCCACUAACAUACUGCCACGUCACCGAUCAACUGUCCAUAAGAAUUCUCUCUAAUGGAAUCGUGAAACCUCAUUAGUUAAUACCACAUCAUUGGUCAAUGCCACGUCAUCGAUUCGUCUAUGUGAACAGUGUCGUGAACAGUAAUAUAGACAAUACCGUACAUGUGAAUAGUACAGUACAUGUGAACAGUGACAUUUUUCCUUUUAUGCUCCUCCUAAGGUUUUCGACUGUCCUGAGUUCAAAAGUGAUGUCCGUUUUGCCGUCUGAUUUCUCGUUCAUUGUGAAAUGACCAUGAUGCCCCUAAAAUACAUAAAAUACUUAAUUAAAAUAAAGCACACAUAAUUAAAUCACAAGAAGCUUAAAUACAUAGAAGUAAAGGUAUUAGUAAAACUUGAAGUGUAAAAUGACGAUUUUCUCCUUUAUAAAUAUACAUUUUCUAACACUCAACAAUAGAUGAGUGUUUCACAACUGGAGAAAAUACCUCAUUGUAGUCUAUCCCUUCCUUUUGAGCGUAACCCUUCGCUACCAAUCUAGCCUUGUAUCGAAUUUCAUUUUUACGAGGAAAUCCUUCCUUUUUUGCAUAUACUCAUUUGCACCCAAUUGCCUUUUUUUCCUUGGGUACUGUAACUAACUCCCAAGUUUUAUUUUUGUGAAGAGAUUGUAUUUCUUCAUUCAUUGCUCUCUUCCACUGUAUACUUUCUGGAUUACUUAUUGAUUCUCUGUAAGUGGAAGGAACAUCAUCAUCUACAAUUAGAAGUGCAUAGGCCACCAUAUCAACAAAGCGAGCAGGUCUGCGAAUCUCUCUGCAUGGCCUUCUAUAUGUGUUGGUGAUUUUUUAAUCAAAUGCUAUUAAUGCCAAUGUGCAAGUGUACACAACAAGUAAUAAAGUGAUGAAUAUUCAAGAUCGUCUCCACAGGGAUUGAUGUUACUAGAAUUGCUACAGCAAUCAUAAUAGUGCAAUCUACCUUUAUUCCGAGAUGAACAAAUGUAAAGUUGGUUACUAUUGAAAUUGAUAAUUGUGAGAGAAUAAAAUGAAACAAAGCAGUGAGAAAUAAAUUAAAUAAAAAUGCGUCGAAGAAUCAAAUGAGAAUAAGGUAGUUGAAUGAUCAAACUCUCUUUAUGGGCUGACUGCUUUUCAUCAAUUUAACACCAGUUGCUACAACAAUUUCUAUAGCACUGGGCAUAAUUAUUUUGCAUCCUCGGCUGUCGCAUAUUGGAAUUCUCAUACCCAUAAGUAUCUUAGCAAUGACCAGUUGCUAUUCUACCUACAGCAUGACACUAUGAACAUCCAUUCUCUCCACCCUACAAGGUGAAUACCUAUGUCUAGUUUAUCACAAUUCUUAACUUCAAGUAUGGCCCUUAUGGGAUUCAAGAUAAACUUAAUCCAGGAAACUUAAAUUAAGAUCAAGUAUUACUCUAAUAAUAUCCACUAAGACAUGCCCUUUUGCGGCUCUAUCUUAACUUGAACCAUUAAAUGGUUGGUCAACCGAAAUAACAGUUAUAAUAAUAACUACUAGAGCAAAAUGCUACAGCAAUUAUAUAACAACUCAUAAGAACAAUCAAGAACCCAUUAGAUUGUUUGUCACUCAACUAGAAGCAAGGUUAGUUCAUAUUCUUAAAGAGAAAAACAAACAGCAACAUAUUGGUCACGAAAUGCAUUGGUUUAAUCAAAGAGUGAAGAAAGAAUAAGUGAAGAAUGAUAGAUAGUGAAUCCAAAUAACUCUGCUGGAUUCUUCAAUGAUGCAGCCUCGAUUCCCUUGAAUUUUGAUCUUCUUAUUCUCUUUCUCUCUAAUUUCCCCAAUGAUAAUUCCUUGCCGCUGUUUUAUGUGAUACGCGCCUCUUUUUAUAACUAAAAACUAGGGUAAACAAAGGCCUCGGGCAUACAUGAGUCAAAUUAGAAAACUGUAUAUCGCAAUUCUACAGCUAACCCGCGCUAAGUUUUCUCCCUCGGUGUUCCAAGAUUGCUACAACAAUGGUCGCUCCAGCAACGACUAUAACACUAUACUGUUCCCGGUUGUGUUUCACUUCUUUUGUGGCCAUAUUCUUUCUUCUUCUUACUAGCCUAAUAUCUCAGCAUCCCUUCAUGGAUUAUAAACUUCUGAAAACCUACAAUUAUGCACAUGUUUUGAGCACAAAUUACUUUAAAUCAAGCAAAACUUAUUAAGACUAAACUAAAAUGGAUGUUUAUGCAAAACAUAACCAAAAUAUAAUAAAAACACAUCUUUUACUCUCUAAGUAGUCUUGAUUUAAGUCUAGAAUUGCCGUAAUAACUCUCAUUUCAUAGAGUUAUCACACCCCCAAACUUAAACCGUUACUUGUCCUUAAGUAAUGACAACAUACUAACACUUUACGCACACAAUUAUGCAACACACAACUUAGCUCUGUUAUCAAAUUUGCAAGGAUUCUUCCACCUUCAGAUCACAAUCUCAAUCAUGCCAAAUGCCCAUAGUACAUUAGUUAUAGACUUAAGCUUCCUUCUGUCCAAAGUGUGUGUGUGCUAUUUUAAUUGAAUUCCAGAAAUGCUACAACAUUACCAAGAGAUUGCCUGUAAUUCAGAGGUAGCACCAUUUUAUUCACAUAUAGGGCAACAUAAAUCUCACAUACUCAAACUGUGCUCUAUUCAAGAAUGAAAGCUUAAGAGUACUCAACCCUCUUCACUGCGACAUUUAUUUUUCAUGUGAAUGUCAAUUAAUUGUAAUGAUGACACCCAAUUACUCAAGCCAUACAAAAAUCAGAGUUGUUGUAGCAAUAUCUGUAACAUAAUCUUAUCUAGAGAUGUCUUUUAACUCAAGGCUAAACAUAGGGUUUAUGAACAGACCUGGCUACUCAAUAUCCUAGACAGAGGACUUCCUCUUUUUAUUGUCUCACUUUUUUUUUUUAACAGUCAAUAUAGCAGAUGCUACAACACUGCUCAUAACUCUUGUUGCCUUUGGAUGCAAAUCUGAAUUUGGGGUACAUACUCAACUCUAGUUACUCAGCAACUUGAGCCAUUGGAGCAGAAUUUAUUUCAUAGCAAGCACAGUCCAGCAAAAUUUUCCCCCAAACUUAAGAUAUUUUCUAUUCUUUUGGCUAUGCUACAACAUUCUCAUAAAACUCCACCAAAGUUUAGGUGUCAGGACAGAAUUUCACUCUCCAUCUAUAACUAUCUCUACUCGGCAUUGUGUACUGUUUGCACAAUUCUUGUGGGUUGAGGUGGGAAUUGAAACCUUUUUUCUUCCAGAAUCUUGAGCGGUUCAAUGAACUCUUCAUAUUUUUCUUCCGCGUGGUAACUUUGGAAGCGUGAAGGAUAUUUGAGUCGGCUGGCUAUUCUUUUAUACCUUGGCAUUGCUAUAACAGUAAGAAUUCGAUGGUAAUAUGCUCUUCUCCAAUAGUUGCUGGCAUGUGGCUUGCCUCUGUAUUCUGUCAACAAUACAACCCCAAUUAUUAGUAUGAAAUCCAUUUGUCACACAUAUUUCCCUCGAGAAAUUUAAAAAUAGAUAAAAUCAAUCCUAAGAAAUUAAAAAUAAAGACAUAAAACGACAACAAAAAUAAAGGUUCAAUAAUCUGAAAUAAUGAAAAUAAAAAUAAAUAACAAUAAGUGAAUAACAAAAUUAAAAUGAAAUAAAAAGGAAGAGCCUUCAACAAAACCAGAGAGGGUCAAGCUCAGUUGAAGUGACUGCCCCCGCAAUGGGUUGCCUCCCAUUGAGUGCUUGAUUUAAGGUCUUUCAGUCUGACCUUCUUUGAUUGCUCAAUAGCUUGGUUCUUUAAGGAGUAAGACCUCCUUUGAACAAUCUGCAGCUGAGUGUAUGUAAUGCUUAACUCUGUGCCCAUUGACUUUAAAUUCUUGGCCUGUCUUUUCAUCUAGGAGAUCAACAGUCCCAUGAGGAUAAAUUCUGAGCAGCUUGAAAGGUCCAGACCAUCGAGAUUUUAGUUUUCCUGGAAAUAGUCUUAGCCUUGUAUUAUGGAGCACCACUAGUUGACUAGGGCUUAAUUUCCUGUGUUGGAUAUGCUUGUCAUGCUAGUGUUUUGUCCUCUCUUUAUAGAUUCUUGCAUUUUCAUAUGAGAACAGUCGUAAUUCAUCAAGCUCACAUAGUUGAAGCUUCCUUUGCUCUGCUGCAGCAUGUAUAUCCCAAUUUAAUUGCUUCAGUGCCCAGUAUGCUUUAUGUUCUAGCUCAAGUGGCAAGUGACAAGCCUUCCCAUAAACAAUUCGGUAGGGAGACAUGUGAAGUGGUGUUUUGUAUGUUGUUCUGUAAACCCAUAGGGAGUCAUGUAAACUCAAGGACCAAUCCUUCCUUGAUGGAUUCACCAUUUUUUCUAAGAUCUUCUUAAUCUCUCUAUUGGACACUUCUGCCUGGCCAUUGGAUUGUGGCUGAUAUGCUGUUGCUACUUUGUGCCUGACUCCAUAUUUUACCAUACCUGCAGUAAAUAUUUUGUUGGAAAAAUGAGUACCAUCAUCACUGAUAAUUGCUCUUGGAGUGCCAAACCUGGAAAAAAUAUUUUUCUAAAGAAAGUCCACCACUACUUUAGCAUCAUUGGUAGGUAAUGCUGCAGCUUCUACCCAUUUAGAGACAUAAUCUACAGCAACCAGGAUAUAUAAUUUCCCAAAGGACGGUGGAAAAUGAUGCAUGAAAUCUAUUCCCCUUACAUUAAAAACUUCAACUUCCAGAAUAUUUGUCAAUGGCAUUUCAUGUCUUUGAGUUAUGUUCCCUGUCCUUUGACACAUGUCACACCAUUUAGCAAAUUCAUAAGCAUAUUUCAAAAUAGAAGGCCAGUAAUAACCUGAUUGCAGAACUUUAGCAGUUGUUCUGUGACCACCAAAAUGUCCUUCAUAUGCUGCAACAUGGCAUAAAUCCAGUAUGUGGGGAAUCUCUUCCUCUAAAGCACAUGUUUUGAGCACAAAUUACUUUAAAUCAAGCAAAACUUAUUAAGACUAAACUAAAAUGGAUGUUUAUACAAAACAUAACCAAAAUAUAAUAAAAACACAUCUUUUACUCUCUAAGUGGUCUUGAUUUAAGUCUAGAAUUACCGUAAUAACUCUUAUUUCAUAGAGUUAUCAAUAUGCAAUUGAAUCUUGUUGUUGUGAAGGUUCCUGGGUCAGAACCUCUUCAUCAUCUUCGGUCGAUGAAGAAUCACUAUUCAUCUCAUUGACACCAGCUAGAUCAGAUUUAACCUUUUCAAACUCCACCUGCUGCAAAGUUCCACUGGUCUUGUCAUCCUCUUGAGAAUCUUUUUGUUUCAACAUGGUUGAUUCAUCAAAAGUUACAUCUCUGUUGAAAAUAAUCAUCUUCAUAACAGGACACCAGAGACGGUAUCCUUUUACUCCACCAAUUAUACCCAUGAAUAAUACUUUUUUUGCUCUUGGGUUUAACUUAGAUUCUUUUACAUGAUAAUAAGUAGUGGAACCAAAAACAUGUAAAGAAUUAUAAUCAGUAGCGGGAUUACCAGUCCACAUCUCUAUGAGUGUUUUGCCCUCAAUUGCAGCUGAUGGCAAACAGUUGAUCUAAGUUAGACCCAAGAGUUGAUCUACCAAAACUUUCUCCAGUUGAUCUACCAAAACUCCUUGCCCAAUCCCGCAUUGGACAACAUACACCGAACUUUCUCCAGUAUAGUCCGGUUCAUGCGUUCUACCACCCCAUUCUGUUGUGGUGUAUCUCGAAUAGUGAAGUGUCGUACAAUGCCCUCAUCUUGGCAUAUUUGAAGAAAUGGAUCAUUCUUGUACUCACCACCAUUAUCUAAGCGAAGUCUUUUGACCUUUCGAGUAGUCUGAGCCUCGACCAUUUUGUUCCAUUUUAAAAAUAUGCCUAAAACUUCAUUUUUAUUCUUCAUUAAAUACACCCACACUUUUCUUGAAUAAUCAUCAACAAAAGUAACAAAAUAGUGCAUACCUCCCAAAGAAGCUGUUUUGGUAGGUCCCUACACAUCACUGUGAACAUAGUCCAGAAUUCCUUUUGUAUCGUGAAUUGCUGAAUUAAACUUUACCCUUGUCUGUUUGCCCAGAACAGAAUGUUCACAAAAUUCUAAUUUGCAAGAAUUUAUACCUUUCAAUAAGCCUUGCUUCACCAAAGUCUGCAAAGCUUUUUCACUAGCAUGUCCCAAACGUAUAUACCACAACUUGGUUGCUUCUGAAUUUACAUUGUUUUCCAGAAACUGUUGAUACUGAUCUAAUAACUGUACUUCCUUGGAAAUAGUACAAAUUAUUUCUUCUUGUGUCUUUCAUCACCGUUAUCUCCCUAGCUACUACCUUCAACAAUCCAUCUCUCAAAGCGAUUGUGAGCCCUUUAGAUUCUAGGACUCCUAAUGAGAUGAGAUUUUUCUUCAAACUUGGUAGAUAGCGAACAUCCGUCAAGACUUGGAUUGAGCCAUCAUGAUUCUUUAAUUGGAUUGUACCUAUUCCCAUGGUUUUACAAGCAUUGUCAUUGCCCAUAGAAACAACUCCACCGUCUAGCUCCCUAAAACUAGAAAACUAGGUCUUGUUAGGACACAUAUAAUAACUGCAACCCGAAUCCAAAAUCCAGUCAUCUGAGUGACGUAUCAAUGUCAUGCCAACCAGACUAAAGUCUGACUCCUCAUCAUGCUCUGCUACACACGCAUCAGAAGUAGCCUUGCCCUUUUGUAACUUAGGACAAUUCUUUUUCCAAUGCUCUUUCUCGCGACAAAAAGCACACUCAUCUUUGGCAGACCUCCCUUUAGACUUGCUUCUUUUUCCAGGUUUGCGACUUUGUGAACGGCCUCUCGCUGUCAAUGCUUCUGUAACUGUAUCUCUGUUAUCCUUUCUGUCUUUUUUUCUGGUCUCAGAGUUGUACAAUGCACUGCAUACAACAUUGAAUGUGACAUUGUCCUUCCUAUAAAGCAAAGUAGUGGUGAGAUGAUCAUGUUCAUUAGGAAGGGAAUUCAACAACAACAGUGCCUUAUCCUGAUCUUCAAAUUUCUCAUCCAAAUUUAGUAAAUUUCCCAAUAUUUUGUUGAAUGAGUUCACAUGGUCAUUUAUUGACAUGCCAGGUGUAUAUGUGAAAUGAUAGAGUUUCUUCUUCAUAUAAAGCCUAUUUUCAAGGCUUUUCUUCAUAUACUUUUCUUUCAGUGUCUCCUACAAUUUCUUUGCCAAUGUCUCCCUCAUGACAAAGUAUUUAUGAUCUUUAGCUAAGCAUAGGCGAAUAGUACUACAUGCCUGUCUGUUGAUCUUUAUCCACUCCUUGUCAUCCAUCAUGUCAGGCUUUUCUUCAAGAGCAACGUCCAACUUUUGCUGACACAAGACAUCCAACACCUCACAUUACCAUAUACCAAAAUUAUUGGUACCAUCGAAUUUCUCCACUUCAAACUUUGCAUUAGUCACAGUAGUCAUCGCUGAUGAAGACGACGACGAUGCCUCUGCCAUCCUUUUUAACUCAAAUGAUCAGUUUCGUCAACAACUAUUUACACUUGAAAAAAAACCUCUAUGAUGUUUAUUUCGGGUGAAUAAAUGCACCAAAAAAGUUCCCAGGAGAAUAGCGGGGUCACAACGGUCCCACUUAAAACCCAGACUCCUUAGGCUCUUAUCGCCUUGUUGUCAGAACUUUCCUAUACAUGCAAAAAUACACACUACUUACAAUAGACUAUCUCCCAAGUAUAAAUGGUCGUCUCCACCGUAUCAAUGAACAGUACCGUAUACAUGAACAGUACCAUAUCUGUGACCAGUUCCGUAUACGCGAACAAUGUCGUAUACAUGAACAGUGUCGUAUGCCCCAAGCACGAACCUUUAGCGCUGAUACCAAUUGUUGCGAAAAUGCGGGUUGAGCAAUUACUAAUACUGCGACUUCUUGAGAAAUAUAAAUGUGGUGACAAGAAAAUAUUACACAAUAAUUUACGUGGUUCGGCGUAAUGCCUACGUCCACAGGCAAAGAUUGGAAGAUAAUUUUACUAAUAAUGAGAAUUUACAAAAGUGGGAAAAAACUUACAAAACCCACAACUCCAAUACACCCAAAUGGAACAUCACUAGAACACUCUAGUGGAAGCUCUCUCAAAUUCUCUCAAAGAACUCACUUGCAAUUGCUCUCUACUUCUCUCAAAUUGGGAUGCUUUACAAAUGCAUUCUAGUACUCCUCUAUUUAUAGGCAAAGCUUACAAUAUGAAUGCAUGAAAAAAAAUUUGGCCAUUUUUUAAUUUUAAUGGCUUUGGUGUGACUUUUGAUGAAGAGAUCAUGCUAGCACAUGCAAUUAGAUCACGCUAGCUCAACAUUGGUGUGCUUGAAAUUUGCAUGCUAAGAAUUUGUCUUCAAAUUUGCCUCUCUAAAGUUGAAUGCAUGCAUGUGUAUUUGAAUUCCAAUUUUGAAUUUUUCAACACAGUCGAGUUCAUAUUGAAUGUUGUGAGAGUGUUCCAUUUUAUGUAUCUACAUGGAGAUGGGCAUAGGGCUCAAAACCAAGAGACAAUAGAUGUACUUUUUACAUUGCUUUUUCAACCAAUUCCCUUGGACGACAAACACAUGGUUGCCACAUCAUCACCUGGCACCAAAGGAUGAUGAAUUAUAGUUCAUGAUGCGUUACGAAUCCCCAGAGUGUAGUUUCAGUUGAUGUUGGCCUCAACUUUUCUUUUCAGUUUCUAUUUCUUUCUGAUGAUGAGAUCUCUUUUCGAUGAUUAUAAUAAAUUCCCUCACUCGUCGAGGUUUAUAAAUGAGACAAAAAUGUUAUAUAUGUUACUUUUAUUGAGAGUAAAAGUCGUCAUGAUGUGAGAACCAUUUUCUAGCAAAAGCAUGAGAAUGGCAGAAUGUGUUAUGUAUGCAGUUAUACUUUAUAUACAAACAUGGUUCAAAGCAUGUUAAGGCACAAUAGAUACUCAGUAUACAUGGUGUUGCGGAAACGUGGGUUGAUCAAUUUCUAAUACUGCAACUUCUGGAGAAAUAUAAAUAUGGUGAUAAACAAAUGCAAAGAAAAUAGGACACAAUAAUUUACGUGGUUCGGCGUAAUGCCUACAUCCACGGACAAAAACUGGAAGAUAAUUUUUCACUAACAAAUGGGAAUUUACAAAAGUGGGAAAAACUCACAAAAUCCACAACCCCAAUACACCCAAAUGGAACCUCACUAGAACACUCAAGUAGAAGCUCUCUCAAAUUCUCUCAAAGAACUCACUUGCAAUUGCUCUCUACUUCUCUCAAAUUGGGAUGCUUACAAUUGCAAAAUGCUUCUCUAUUUAUAGAGUGCAUUUUGCUCCAAGUUGGGUUCAAUUGGUCAAAACGUUGAGCUGGAUCUUGUAUUGCAUGCACAAGCUUUUCAACACCUAACUUUGUCUUUUGAAAUUAGCAAGCCGACCAACUUUGUUUUUUUGAAUUUGACAAAUCCACCAACUUUGCCUUUUGAAAUUGGCAACCAAUGAUUUGACUUUUCAACACAUGGCCCAUUUAAAUCGCAUGUGGCAAAUCAUACCCGUGAAAAAUGACAAUUUGCAGCGAACAGUGACAAACGCAACAACAACUAAGGAUAGAAAUCCGAGCUGUGACAUAAAAAGAAAUCACAAGGAUAAAAUAUUAAUAUAACCAAUUAAAAACACGAGUUCCUAGUUUUUAGGUUAGCUUAAAGACACGAGCACCUAAUUAUUCGGUUAGCCUUUUUUAUCUUUUAAUGUCGUAUUCACUUCUACAAUAAAUCUCUAACAAAGUCAUAUGAAUUUAAAGAAUAUAAGUGUAGUCACUGGGUUCAAUCAUAAACGUUUUGUUUUAUAGAAAGCUACUUGUCAUUUUUAGAAGCCUUUCACUAUCCAAUAUUUGAUUCAAGCAACGAUCAAAUUUAACAGCUUUCUUGUUCCUUCAAUUGAUAUACCUACAAAAAUGUCAUCUUAAAUUGCUUUAUUCACAGUAGUAUAAUGAGCAAAAAACGCAUUAUGUAUUUAUAUUAAAAAAUUACGAAAACAUAAAUUUAAAGAGAACUUUAAGAGAAAAAAUAACAAGUAUUAAAUUGACUUGUCUUUUCGAAAAAGAAAUAUAAUUAACAUAAGCAAAAACGUCACAACAGAGCAUAUAUAAUUAAGUAAUUAAAAGAAAAAAAAAAAUGAACCAAACGUACAUUUUAAAUGUCUCGCUCUUUUCCAUGCCCCACUCUUGAGUUUCUUCAUCACUGAAAUUUUGACAAAAAGUUAAAUUAAUAAAAUAGCAUAAUAAUACAGCAUAAUGUGAAUUAUAACUGGACUUUUUGGUUUCUUCAAUUAUAUAUCUGCCAUUGACGAUUGUAUUUUAGUGGAAAGUAUGCAUGGUGAUUACUUAGAGGAGAGUUGUUUAAACCGAAUGAAAGAUUGAGAGAGUCAAAUCAUAUUAAUUAUGGAGACAAAAUAAGAUGAAGUAGAAGAAAAAUAUUGAAUAAUAUAUUAGGGCCCAUUAAUUUUUAGUUUUGCUAUUAAUAAAAGUUACUUUUGUCAAAAUUUUGUAACCCAAUUUUUAUCAGAGUAGUAUUAAAGACACCAUUUUUUAAAAUCAAAAUAGUAUUAAAGAGAUCAUUAGGUAAUGUUAAAAGAUUAAGAAAGAGAUAGUUGAUCCUAUCUCAUAUGUAUAUUGGUGCACUAUUUGAACAAAUUGGACGUUGGUAUUCUAAGGUGUACCGCAAUUUUAUGAAUACAAUAUUUUUUCACUAUAUAUUAGGUUGUUUUCGGGAGCUUCGAUAAAUUGUGGGAUUCAAUUAGAUUUUGAGACUAACAAAAUAAUUUAAUCUAAGGUAUGUUUGGUUGUCAUGGACUAUUAGAGUAGACUUAAAUUUAGCCUACAACUAAUAGGAUUAUUAAUUCUUAUUUUUAUAGGGGUUUAGGUGAGAUAAGAUUAAAUAAAAACUGUGUCCUCUUUAUCACUUUUUUCUUUUUCAUUUAACCUAGUAUUUUAAUAUAAAUUAAAAAUAGAAGUGAAUUUCACGAAUUUUUAACCAAGUAAUUUUAUAUUGUAUAGAAUAUCAGAUUUUUUUAAAAUAAUUUAUUAAAUUAAAUUAACAUAGUUCAGUACGAUAUUGUAUCAAAUAAAAGAUAGUACUAAUAUAAGCUUUUAGGUUAACCACAAAUUUUGUUUCCCUCACGCAAAUGACUAUGCCCACUAUAUCAUGAUUUCAGCAUUCUGCCGGGGUGGGUGUUUUGAAGAGGCAAAUUGGCUGGGUAUUUUGAAGUCAGGUAUGACAAAUAUGAUUUAAAUUGCAUGCUUUAUGCCUACUGCAGAGCUGGUGAUGUUAUGAGGAAAUUAGACGAAUUAGUCUGGAUUACAAUACCCAUCACAUUCUAAUCAAACAUUUCUCCAAUAAGAAGUUUUAUAUGCUUGCUUAUCGGACUAUGAUGGACAAAGGCCACCAGCCUGAGGAGGUAUGAAAGUGGUCAUAGACAAAUGAACUUUUACUUCGGGAUUGCAGCGCGAAAGACUUAUCACAAGUAUUAGGGGUGUUCGCGGAUCGGACAUCAAUCCAUAUCCAAUCCACGAUUUUGCGGAUUAUGAAUUUUCAAUCCAAUCCAAUCCACGGAUUGGUUAAACUCAAUCCAAAUCCAAUCUAUAUGUUUGCGGAUCGGAUGCAGAUUUGACUCAAUCCAUAUCCAAUUCAUCAUUUUGCGGAUUGAUCUGCGGAUUACAAAUUUUUCAUUCCGUCCAAUCCACAAACUAAUAAAAUGAAAAAAAUAAUAUAAAAAUAAUUUUACUACCAAUCAAAUUCAAAAUUGAAUAAGAUUUAAAUAAAUUAAUUAUUUAAAUAAAACUAAAAUAAUGCAUUAAAGUUUUAAAAUACAAUAUACUGAAAUUAAUUGUUCAAAUGAAGCUAAAAUAAUACAUUUAAAGUUUCAAAAUAUAAUACAUUAAAAUUAAUUGUUCAAUUAAAGUUACAAUAAUACAUUUAAAGUAUCAAAUUAUGACACAUCAAAAAGAAAAAUGUUUGCUGCCAAUUUAUAUUUUGUACUUUAACCUGAACUAAAUAAACAUAAUUGAAAUAAAUAACAAAUAAAAUAAUUUUAUUGAAUAAAAAAUUAACAAAUAAAAUAAUUUUGUUCAAAUGACUGCUUGCACAGAGAUCAAGAAUUUGGAGAAGAUGGCCGAAGGAGAAGUUUAAAGCUAGUAAGAAUCUUUGGGUGCUGGUGGCUCUAUACUUGUGACAGGAAAGGAUAGGAAGUCAAGGGUUUUUUGUGUGCUUGUGACGGGAAAGUUUAAGAAGUCAAGGUUUUUUGUUUUCUUGUGGCUCCUUCGGUGAAGUGGCAUUUAGGAUAAAUGUUUUGUUUGGUUUAUAAUUUUUUAUUUUGUUUAAGAAUUUUUACAACUUAUCUUUGUAUAUUUUAAUUAUUUAAUUAUUUAUGUUAUUUUUGAAUAAUGGAUAAGGUAUCUUAUGGUGUUAAUAUAAGUAUGUAAUUACAUUUUACUUACUUAUUUAUUAGUAAUUUUACUUACUUAUUUAUUAGUAAUGUCAUAUUUAUAAUUUUUUUAAUUAAAAAAAUAUUUUUUUGCGGAUUGGCAGAUUUUUGCGGAUUUACAGAAGUGAAUCCAUAUCCAAUCCACCGGUUGCGGAUUUUUAAAUUUUUAAUCCAAUCCAAUCCAAUCCACCAAUCCACCGAUCGAAUUUUUACGGACCGAAUUUUUAUGGAUCGGACGGAUUGAGCAAAUCGGACCGGAUUCUAAACACUCCUAACAAGUAUGCUGUUUUGCAGGAACUCUGCUCCUUAAUUUUUCAUCUUGGUAAAAUGAGAACGACACUUAGAAGCACUCUCUGUUCACAACAUGUUAAUAGGCAGUAAAAGAUCGAUGUGCAAGGCCCUUCAUGAGAAAAUUCUUCAUAUUUUAAUAUCCAGAAAACUUUCCAUAUCAAACCAUUUUAGAUCGAUUCUUCAACUGUCAUUUUUAUACUUUUUUUAAUUGAAAAUACCCAACGGUGGUGGGGUUGGUGGGACCCCCUUACCUAUAGAUUAUUGAAAUAUAAACAAAAUUACGUAUGGAGGGGGAUGCAAACCAAAAUCUCCAAGUAAAGAAACAAAAAUAACCAACUAAUAAAAAAAGAACAAAAACAAUAAUAGAAUAAAUAAGAAGCUAAAGAUAAUUAAUUAAUGCAAACGCCGAUAAAGCUACUUACAAUACUUAUGACCAUUAACUAAUUUGAAACCUUUCUUAAAACUAUAGGAAUGCAGGCCACCAAUACUGAAGUCGGCGUCAAGAUCACGGCCCGCUAUACCCUCAGGCUUAGACGCAUAAUAAUCAUAACUUACAGGAUUUCCGUCACAGCUAAACUCCUCAUCCGACUGAUUAGGGAUAUCUGUAGAAUGGUAAUUAAAACUCACAACCAUGGAAUGAAUAUCAUCCACUGUAGACCUGAAAAAAGUAAAGCCUGUGGAAGCCCUCAGCGCACUCGGAUUAUCCAAAACAGGAGAAUUAGCAACCUCAGUGCAUCCAUCAGCAUCUCUCAAAGCAACAGUAUGUUGCAAACCAUCAUUAUCCGGAACUCACAGAGCAGAAAUCGAUUAGAUGCCCCGUCUGCAGUAUCCUGAGGAAAAAGAGCAGGCAGCCAGGCAACAUCAUCGAGGGGACCAGGCCCAAAGACUGACCUUGGACGAGAGCAGGCCUCUGUAGUCGAUUAUCCUUAGCAACCACAUACGUAGCACCACCCAUAGUAGGCCGGACAACAGCAUCAGUAAUAAGUAUCUUACUUGUAUCAUGAGCAACUAUAUCCUUCACCUGACCAAUAGGUUGUUGGAGCUUCUGGAGCCCAUGAUUAGUAACAAAACAAGCAUCAGCAAAUUGACAAGAUGCUUACACGAAGCACAAUAUAAUAGAACACGCUCAUAGAUGAUAUCUUGCCAAAACCCAUCAUCACUCUUACCAAUCUAAAGUCUUGGCAACAACAGCCAUGAAACAUCACACUCAAUGAGUACACGAGCCACCGAGGGCCUAUUAACAGCAGCAGUAUCACGGUCCACCCGUAAAGGCUUUUCAAUAGCAUUCACAAUAGAAAAUAAAACAUCUUUGCAAUGAAUGAAAUGCACAGGUAAAUAAGGUAAAUAAGGCAAAGACACCUAGACAAGAACAACUGAAACUCCUAAGAGUAUCAAAUAGAUGUAGACUACUUAAAAGUAUGCAUGGACCUGUCACUAAUAUACCAGGUCUGCCUAACCCAAAUACAAGAGUAAUCCUUUCCAAGCUAAAGCUUUAUCAAUUAUCUACUAAAGAAACCUGUGUACUACCUUUCAAACCCAAGAAAUAAAAAAAUUUACGAAUCACAUCUACAGGGGGGCGGCUAAAUAAAAACUUACUAAUAAGGGAAAGUUUGAAUGGUUCUGCCAUGGACUGGAUUUCUGCAGCUGAAAAGUGGAUAGCAUGAUUACCAUGAAAUAUUGAAACUGGCUUUACCCAAAUUGAAGAUUCUAGGGGGCCAGCAAUAGCAUCAACAAAAGACUUAGCAUUGGGGUUGAGGAUAACUCUAGGAUUAUAAUAGAUGCAUAAGAGGCCUUACAGGGUGGGUUGGAUGUACGACCAAGAGUGAGGGGUGGAAAAGGGUCAUGGGUUUGGGCUAGAUUUUUGGUUUAGUUUUGGGUUUGGAAAGCCGGAUGUUGGUUUGGGUUUCUUUGUUAUGGUUAACGUUUUUUGCAUAUGGCAGCUGGUCUCGGUUUUAAACAGCAGCCACCGUUGAGUUGAAGUAUGACGACGAGCGAGGCCUUGGGUGGGUUUGGGUGGGCAAAAGUGGCUGGUAUGAGGCGGCUAGCAGGUUGAUGGUGCCACUAACGGUGGCCAAAAGAGAGACAACGAGGUGUUGGUGAGAUAUAUGGCAGCUAGGGGGAUUUGUCUUGGUAAACUGAGUCACAGAUGGUAGCCAAUAAGUGGUGCCUGAGUUUUGGUUGUGUUCGUGCAUAUCUCUCUGUUAUGUAUUAAAACUCUAAUAUUUUACUACAUACAGCAGUAAACCAAGAAAGGAGGGAAAAAAAAGGAAAGAAAUACAUGGAAAUGAUAAUUUUACCUUUCAUCUUCAAGCUCCAAAGGCUUCGUAUGUAGGUCUUUCACUUGUAAAAGACGGUUUAUUUCUAUGUGCAAGUUAGCAUUUGGUUCAUUAGAAAAUUUGUCAAUAAAGUGUAAUGAAGCCGUAUUAUAGUUGUUACAAGAAUAUUUUUUGGAAAUCCAUGUAUCAUCUUCUCUUUCUCUCCUUGGAUGAGAGAGUAUCGGCAUUCCCUUAUUUUUCUUUUUUCUAAUUGAGUUUGAAUCCCCUUAUUUUAUUUUAUUUUUUUUUAACCGCCAUAUCAGUAAUUUAUUAACAAUUGCAGAGUUAGUGUGACACUUUAUUUGUAACUGCCAUAUCAUAGUCAGUUACUAACCAUUACAGAGCUAUAACAUCACUCGAAAUAGAAAUAUUGAGAUUCCUAAUAGUAUUUAUUCUAAUUAUUAGUUGUUCCUAAUAUUACUAUCGCUAGCUUGCAAUUAAUUCAGCUUAAGUUGUCAUUUUCUUAUAAACAAACAAGAUGGUCCAUCAUGCUUAGUUGUAAGGAUACAAACUAGGGAUGACAAUGGAUCAGGUUAGGCUCGGGCUUCGCUAAGCCCGAGCCUAAGCUUGUAACUGAAAUAAAGGGUUUGAGCUCAAAAAAGUCCGAUCCUUUGAAUUAAAGCCCGAGCCCAACCAUAAUUUUGUUUUGAUAAGGUGAGAUUCAUGGCAAGAGAGAGUGACUGAAACCCACAGCUAUUUCCUUGAUUAGUAUCACUUGUUGCAGUAGAUAUCUCAACAGAAGAAGAAGAAGCAAAUGGAGUUUGCUUAGCCAAGAAUUGAACCCAGCAAUAGAAGCUACAAUCUUUAAAGGAACAUGCUGAUGCUGAUGAAGAAAAUGAGGAUGGUACAUAAUAUCAUCGUGGUUAUGGGUAAAGCUAGGGUUUAAGGUUUGUGUUUGUGGGUGAUGAUGAUGUUGACUGUAGUGGUGGUGGAUGAUUGAAGAUGGGUGGCUCGUCAGAUCUUGAGCAAUGAUUUCUAAGUCAAAGUCUCCAUUAUUAUCAACAUUGAAGCAGCUGCUUGAUGCAAUAUUGACAUUCCAUUAUGUUGGUUUUGGUCAUUAGCAGGGUCAGUUGAUGUAGAGAUUGAGUAACAACAUGACCCUAAGAAAUCUUCAAGCUUUGGACAUGAUCCUCAUGACUUGCCCCACCAUUGGCAAAAAACCCUAUCAUAAUCUACAUAUCAAAUGCAAUUUACAUGACUUACUCCUAAUUAUAUUUCUACAUCGCCAGGUUCGAACACCUAAAUCGUCCCCAUUUUGCCAUAACCUAAAAAAGCUAAAGAUUGAAGCAUUACCUUAGGCUGUGAUAACUGUGCCGCCUUGUGAAUGGCUGUCACAGUUGUGUGAUGGCUGUCGGUGGUGGCGGUGAUGAUGUCUAGGUAUGGGUGAUGGUGGCUGUGAGUUGUGGAUGGCGAAUGGCAAUUUUAACUGCGGAUUGUGGUGGAUCGUGAAUGGCUGAACCUCGGUCGAUGAAAGAAAAGGGAAAAUAUUUGGCAAACAAAACGUUGUGUUUUUUCCUUUAAUGAAACGAUGCGUUUUGAGUUUUUGGAGUUUGACCCAUGGUUUGACCCGAUGCAAAUAUCAUUUUCAAUGUAUUUAUUAUUAUUUUUAUUUUUCAUGAGACUUAUCAAAUUUUGAUUUAAUGGUUAAUAAUUGUUUCAUAUUGCGUCAAAAAAGAGAGGCUCCCCGACAUGCCCUAUACCAACUAGUCUAGUUUUUCAUAAGCAUGUCGCUCAUGAGCUGCACCACAGUGUAAUGCAGCAAAAUCAAGAAAAAAAAAAGUGAAAUAUGCUAUUUCUCUUUUAAGAAAAAUUCUUGAAUACAUAAGAGGUAACAUAAUUAAUUUUUUUUAUAUAAACACCAGUUAUAUAUUAGUUCUUCAAAAUAAAUGUACUUAUACUAUAAAAUUAUUUGUUUAAUAUAUAAAUGACAUAGUACUUUAAAAGAAUUCUAAAAUUUCUCUUGUGCCUCGCUUGUCAUUUUCAACUAUUAGUCAAUGAGAUGGCAUUUUACAUGCAGAUAUGGUGCCCCGCAGAAACUCUUUUGUUUUGAGAUUGAUGAUCCCAAGGAAAUGGCACAAAUAUCACUUCUAAUGAUAUUUUACAGUAAAGUCCAGCUGUACAGGAAUUCUCUUUCGACAAAAGCUUGUUUAUUCCCAAUAUUUUUAGGUUAAUGUCCUUUUAGCCAUUAUAUUUUAAAAAAUUUCUCAAAACAUCCCUACUGUUAAAUUAUUAACACCACUGUUAGGGUUACUUUUUAUUCUCUUUAGCUUACUUUUAUAUAUUACUCUCUUACAAUAAUGUUUAUUUUUUGGACAUAAAUAAAAAAAAUUAGAUUAUCAAUUUAAUCCCAAAAAAUUAAUGUAGAAGACUCUACUAAGUAAAUAUAUUAAUUUUUUUACUGAUGUCCAAAAAAAUUGGUAACUUAAUUUUUUUACAAUAUUAAUUUUUUUGACAUAUGUAAUCUUCUUGGAAAAUUAAUAUAUAUUAUUUUUGUGGUUAAAUUAAUAAUUUAAUUUUUCCUUUUAAUUAAUGUCCAAAAAAAUCAUUGUAAGAGAGAUAAUAUUAUAAAAGUAAGCUAAAAAAAAAUAAUGACAGAUAUGUCAAUUGUUUAACAACCAGGAGUUUUGAGUUAUUUUUAAAAAUAUAAGAAAUCAAAAUAUAAUAAUUAAACGAGUUUCGACACAUUCUUUUUAGUGCUCUAUGACUCUUAUGGAAGUAUAACUUUGAUUAUUAAACACAUGCUUCUACACGUUUUUGUUCACCGUAGGACUGCCAUAAACAAAUAUCGACAUCAUUGAUUAUUAUAAACACAUGCAUUGGCACGUUAGAAUUCCCUCAUAAAAAAAUAUGACUACUUUUUGCAUUCUGGUUUGGUUCAUAGUUCCUAUUUUUUAUCCUUGGCCGCGAGGCUCAUAUUCUUAUGGAUCCUAUAUCCACACACUCUUUUGUUUCCCGUACUUUUGCUAUGCACAUAGGGGGAGAGCCUGAACUAUUAGAUUGUGGUUUAGUUGUUCGUACACCUACCGGAGAGUCAUUACUUGCUGAGAGUGUGUAUCGAGAUUGUAUGAUUGGAAUGGUUGAACAUGAAUUUGAGGCGAAUUUAAUUUCCUUAGACAUUCAUGACUUUGAUGCUAUUUUGGGCAUGGAUUGGCUUGAAUCUCAUUAUGCUACAGUGGAUUGUUUCAAAAAGGAAGUUGUGUUUAAAAAGCCAGGGAGGACUGAGGUGAAAUUCUGUGGGGAGUGCAAAGUUCUACCUUCAUGUGUUAUAUCUGCCAUUAGUGCAAGACGGUUGCUAAGAAAAGGAUGCUCGGCUUAUUUAGCUCAUGUGAUAGAUACAGAAGCUCGAGAAUUGAGAUUGGAGGAUAUUACAGUAGUCAAAGAAUUUCCAGAUGUAUUUCCAGAUGAACUUCCUAGGAUGCCACCUAACAGGGAAGUUGAGUUUUCUAUUGACUUAGUCUCUGAAACAUCUCCUAUAUCUAUGGCACCAUACAGGAUGGCUCCAGUAGAGUUGAAGGAACUGAAGGUUCAAUUGCAAGAGUUGGUGGAGAAACGGUUUAUUAGACCUAGUGUGUCCCUGUGGGGAGCUCCAGUCUUGUUUGUUAAGAAAAAUGAUGGGACUUUUAGACUCUGCAUUGACUAAAGGCAGUUGAACAAAGUUACGGUACGCAAUAAGUAUCCACUUCCGCGUAUUGAUGACUUGCUUGAUCAACUCCAGGGGGCAAAAGUAUUUUCUAAGAUCGAUUUGCGCUCGGGUUACCAUCAGCUUAGAAUUAAAGAUGUUGACGUUCCUAAAACAGCAUUUAGAACCCGUUAUGGGCACUAUGAGUUCUUAGUGAUGCCAUUUGGGUUGACAAAUGCUCCAGCUGCUUUUAUGGAUCUCAUGAAUAGGGUAUUUCGCUCGUACCUGGAUCGGUUUGUGAUUGUAUUUAUUGAUGAUAUCUUGGUGUAUUCCCGAAGCGAGGAGGUGCAUGCAGAGUAUUUGCGGACUAUUUUACAGACUUUGAGAUAGAAGCAGUUGUAUGCCAAGUUCAGCAAGUGCGAGUUCUGGUUGGACAGAGUAGUAUUUUUUGGCCAUGUGAUAUCAGCUGAAGGCAUUUAUGUCGAUCCUCAAAAGAUUAAAGCAGUUGUGCAAUGGGAACGACCUACAAAUGUCAUAGAGGUUCGGAGUUUCCUUGGAUUAGCUAGUUACUAUCGUAGAUUUGUGGAGGGAUUCUCUAAGAUUGCUACUCCUCUGACACGGUUAACGAGAAAGAAUGCUAAAUUCCAGUGGGAUGAUGAUUGUGAAAAGAGUUUUCAAGAACUUAAGACACGUUUGACCUCAGCACCAGUUCUUACACUUCCCUCUGGUAAUAAAGGAUUUGUGGUUUACAACGAUGCCUAUAGGCAGGGAUUGGGUUGUGUGUUGAUACAACAUGGGAAAGUGGUGGCUUAUGCUUCUAGACAACUUAAGAAGCAUGAGCAAAACUACCCAACACAUGACUUAGAGCUAGCAGCAGUGGUGUUCGCACUCAAGACAUGGCGGCAUUACUUAUAUGGGGCAACGUGUCAAAUUUUCACUGAUCAUAAGAGCCUGAAGUAUUUGUUUACUCAGAAGGAGUUGAAUUUGAGACAGAGGAGGUGGAUCGAGCUGAUUAAGGACUACGAUUGCACUAUUGAUUAUCAUCCGGGCAAAACAAAUAUGGUAGCUGAUGCACUAAGUAGAAAGUCUUCCAGCUCUAUAGCUCACUUGCGAGUGAAAUAUAUGCCUCUAUUGAUUGAGUUGAGAUCUUUGGGAAUCGAGUUGAACACUGACAAUUGUGGAGCUUUGAUAGCUAAGUUUCGAGUUAGGCCGACUUUGAUUGACAAAGUUCACCAGAUGCAAGCUCAGGACCCACAGUUAAUGAAGUUGAAAAAGGAUGUGCAAAAAGGUUUACGAACCAAUUUUACGGUGAGAGGCAAUGGAGUCUUAGUCAUGGGUAAUAGACUUUGUGUACCUGAUAUUAAAGAUCUAAAAGAAGAGAUUAUGGAAGAAGCUCAUUGUUCAGCAUAUGCGAUGCAUCCUGGUAGUACGAAGAUGUACUGCACCCUGAGGGAUCAUUAUUGGUGGCAGGGUAUGAAGAGAGAGAUAGCAGAAUUUGUUUCUCGAUGUUUAGUCUGUCAGCAGAUUAAGGCUAAACACCAGAGGCCUGCAGGGUGUUCUCAGCCGCUUCUUAUUCCUGAGUGGAAGUGGGAGCACAUCACCAUGGAUUUUGUAGCAGGACUUCCACGUACUCAGAAAGGACAUGAUAGUGUUUGGGUGGUUGUUGAUUGACUUACAAAAUCUGCUCACUUCUUACUAUUCAAAAUCACAUAUUCGAUGGACAAAUUAGGGAGUAUUUAUGUGGCUGAGAUAGUUCGACUUCAUAGAGUACCUGUGUCCAUAAUCUCAGAUAGAGAUUUUUGGUUUACUUCUAAGUUCUGGACCAGCUUACAAAAUGCUUUAGGCACCAAGUUGAACUUUAGUACAGCUUUUCAUCCACAGACUGAUAGAUAGUUAGAGCGUAAUAUUCAAACUCUGGAAGAUAUGUUGCGAGCUUGUGUUAUGGAGUUUAAAGGUAAUUGGGACAAUCAUUUACCUCUGAUGGAGUUUUCUUACAACAACAACUAUCAAGCUAGUAUUGAGAUGGCACCAUAUGAGGCUUUGUAUGGUAGAAAAUGUAGGACUCCAGUAUGUUGGGAUGAGGUUGGUGAACGGAGCUUAUUCGGUCCAGAACUAAUCCAGGAUACUAAUGAGAAGAUACAAUUGAUCCGGGAUAGAUUAAAAGUGGCCCAAGAUAGACAGAAGAGCUAUGCAGACAAGCGUAGGCGGGAACUUGAAUUCGAAGUUGGUGAUAGAGUUUUCAUACGGAUAUCUCCUUGGAAAGGGGUGCUUCGAUUUAGGAAACGUGGGAAGCUAAGUCCACGUUACAUUGGGCCAUAUGAGAUCAUUGAGCGCAUCGGUCCAUUAGCUUAUCGAUUAGCUCUACCACCCGAGUUAUCCAGAAUCAACGAUGUGUUUCAUGUCUCAAUGCUUCAGAAGUACAUCUAUGACCCGAGUCAUGUGUUAUCGAAGCAACCAAUUCAGUUGAAAGAAGAUUUGACUUACGAAGAUGAACCAGUGGAAGAUAAACACCAAGUUCUGUGUUCUAAGACCAUUCCUCUAGUAAACGUACGGUAGAGGAAUCAUACAAAGGAAUAGGCUACCUGGGAACGCGAGGACUUAAUGCGAGCUCAGUAUCCCUAUCUUUUCUUAUCAGGUACGUAAAUUUCGAGGACAAAAUUUUUAUAAGGGGGGAGGAUUGUAACAUAUGUGAAUUAAAAAUGAAUAAAAAGAGGCGGUUAAGAAGUUAACAAAAGAAGAAGCUGGAAAAUAGAGCAACAUAGAGCCACACGUGUGUGAGAGAGUGAGAGAGAGAAGCUGUCAACCAGACCCGAAAACCUGACCCGGAACCCGCGAACGUGACCUGACCAUAUCUCCCAUUUCCAGCCACUGUUUCGGCCGAGCUUGGUACCAAUUUGAAGCUUAGAAGCCGGCCAUUGUUCCCCUGCCAUCCUCGUUGCCGAAAAGCAACCAGAACGCCGGCGAUCGAAGCUUGGAAACCCAUGACUGUUUCGCUUUGUUCCGCCGGGAUUUUCACCGGUUUUGGGUGACACCACCAGUUGGAUUUUUGUUCCCCGCGACUCCCUCUUCCAUUUUCGACCAUCCACUGCCGCCGGGGACGUCGUUUUGCCGUUGAUCAGCCGUUGAAAGACUUACGGCUUUGGGAGCUCGAUCCGGAGCCAUCGCCGCGCAUGGGAGGUCACCACCACCACCGUUGCACUCAGUGUGGCCAGAACUUUCAGACUUGAGUUUCCCCGCCAGCGUUGACCAAAUUCCAAUGGCUGUUUAUCGGCAAGGGCAUUUCGGUAAUUUCACACUGCGAGGGCAAUUUUGUAAUUUCUGAGCCUGUGGAUAUUUUAGUAAUUCCUAGAAUUGAGCAUUGGGUGUAAUUACGAUUUCGAUGGUAAUUCGGUGAUUUACAAUUUCAAAGUAUUUUAAUAAUUUACGGACUUGAGGGUAUUUUAGUAACUUUAUCGACGCGGGAGUUGUAAAUUAUGGAUAGAUGUUCGUUUUGAUUUUAUUGCAUAAAUUUAGUCUUAAUUCCAAUUUACGGAAAAUAAUUAUGUCGUUUCCUUGAUUUAGGAGGAUCCGCGAGCGAGAACCGGUCUGCGAACAUGGACGAUAACCGAACGUGAACACCGUCACUGUGAGUGGAAUAUACAAAACCUAUUUUCAUAGUUAAUUAUGAUAGUAAUGCAUGUUUGCGAAAUAAGUAUUUUAAAUGUUCUGAUUUAAUGAUUUCUCGAAAUGGAUUUUAUUCACGCAUUGAUAUUAUAUUAAAAUAUUUGGUUAAUGAUUUUGUGUAUCGACUUUGAAUAAAGCAUGAUAGUAUUUUAAAGAUAAGAAAAGUGGAUUCAAAUGUGGUAUGAUUUAAAGUAUGGUUAAAAGGUAUGUGAAUAUAAGUAUAAUGAUUGUUUUUAAAAUCAUUAAACAGUAUCCUUCCCUUCCAGAUACAGUGAUGCAGAUGAUAUGAAAUGAGAGGCCUUUGGGGCCCGUCUGAACACACAGAGGUUUUGGGCCGUGUGUUUGGGCGCUUUUUCCUUUUGGGGGCAUAUGCAUGCGGUAUGAUGAUUACAGAGAUACAUAUAUGAGAUACAGACAGAUAUUGAGAUACAGGCCUUUGGGGCCCGUCUGAGCACACACAGAGGCUUUGGGCCGUGUGCUUGGACGCUUUUGUCCUUUGGGGACUAGAUUACAUGCACAGAUAUGAUGAGAUAUGAGAUGGUAUUUCCCUGUCUAUCCGUGUAGCUCCGGGGCGUGACGGUACCCAGAUAGUUCGUCAUUGCUCGUCCGUUGAGGUCCGGAUAUGAUGAGAUUAUUUCCCUGGGUCCUUGUUUGGUGAUGAUUUUCAUAUUUGUGUAUCCUAUAUGAUAUUGUGAUAUGAUUUCCAUGGUUAUUAAUCUAAUUUAAAUGUUAAAUGAUUUAUUACUGGUUUCUCGCAUAUGAUUUGAUGAAAUCGUGUUUGGAAAUGAUAUGAUUAUCUCUUUUAAAGUAAGAAUUAAUUUUCAAAAACUACUAUCCACUCACUGAUCUCACUGAGUUUUAAACUCACCCCAUUUUUUAUUAUAUCCCCCCCCCUCACCAGGAGGUUGCAGGUACACCAGACCGACCCAGCGAUUGUAAAUAUAUUUUGAUUCUUGGCCACGUGAUGGUGUUAGAAGAUAUAAAUGUUUUUGUUAGGACAUCUUGGUUAUCUCGUCCUGUUGGGAUUGUAUAAUUUUAUUAUAUUAUUCUUUUGGGAUUAAGAAUAAACUGAGAUAUUAAUAUUAGUUAUAAUAUUAUCUUUUGAGACUCUGGAGAUAUAAAACUCAGCAUUUUGGUUGAGGAUGUUAAUCACUGGAUUUUGUUGUAUAUUGAAUUAUACUGGGAGUGUUAUGUUCAUAUUUGUAGAUUGGGAGUGUUAUAUAUAUAAAGGAGACUCUGCUGAAUUUUCGCCAGAAUCCUUACUAAUUAGAUUAUUAUCAAGUCUGUUUUGAUGUGACUAGAUUGACUCGCCCGGGGGGGAUUCAGGGCGGGUCGUUUCAUACAGUUUCCCCUAUCACGCUAUAAGCUACCAUAUCUCUGAUAUGUGUUAAAACUCUAAUAUUUUACUGCAUAGACAGUUAAUCGAAGAAAAAGAAAAGAAGGGGGGGUGGUGGUGUUGGAAAAGAAAGAAAUCAGACAGAUUAAAAAGAUCUAGCAUUGAAGGUGACAAAAUUCUACUAUAAUUGGAAAUUAUGAAUUUACCCUUCAUCUUCAACCUCCCAAGGCUUCCAACGUAGGUCUUUAACUUCCAAAAGACAGUUUAUUGCUACGCGCAGGUAAGCAUUUGGUUCAUGAGAAAAUUUGUCAAUAAAGUGUAAUAAAGCUGUAUUAGAGUUGUUGCAAGAAUGUUGUUGUCUAGAGACCUACCUACCUAUCAUCUUCUCUUUCUCUCCCCUUGGAUGAGAGAGUGAUUGGAUUCACUUAUUAUUAGUAUUUUUUUUCCUUGAUAAGAGUAGCUUGGAUCCGCUUAUUAAUCAGCCUAAAUCUCGAAUUAUAGUCCCAAUUAUUCGUAAAUGCCAGAUCAGGUAAGUUAUUAAUCAUUACCAAAAAAAAAUGAAAUAUUGAGAUCCCUAGUUUUAUUAUUCUAAUUAUUAGUUCUUCCUAUUAUUACUAUCGCUAGCUGGCAAUAAGCUGUCAAUUUCCUAUAAGCAAACAAGACGGUCGUUGAGCGUACUUGUAAGGAUACUGACGCCUCUGUGGUUUAGUAAAGGAACAUGGAGACUCGUCGUAUUUUCAAAAAAGGUAUACAGACCUCAUUUUAGACAAACAAAAGAAGUUUUUUUUAUUUUUAUUUUUUUAAAGGCAAACUUUGGGGUUCAAUGUGAGACGGUGAUUGUUUUUUAACACAAAAGAUAUUUAAAAAAGUACGUCCCGAAUAAUUGCUAUUUGUGGAGGCUCGUCCUACACGUUUACAAGAAAUUGUUAGAACUUGUAGAAAACGACGAAAUCUCUAGUCAUGGAGAGCAUUGCCGUUUAUGGCUCAAUGUCCAAAAUGAAUUUAGUGAUUCAACUGAGAAUGACACUUUAGACUUUUGUAAUUUCAGCAUUUAUUUUUUGAUUUAUUGCUUUCAUCAAUAAUACUGGGAAUUCCAUGCUUUUGACUUUCAAAUGGAGUCUCAAUCAUGUGGUAGGUCGUAAAAACUUUUAUUCUUUUUCUGUAAUAGAUAAUUUGUCUCUCGUACAAUAAUAAAGAUACCAAAAUGUACAUUAUUAGUCACAUAUAUUUCUAUUAUUGAUCAAUAAAAGAUGCUUUACUUGAAUUAGAAGAAAUUAGUGAAUAUUCUAAAAUAAAUAGUGAAGCUAAGUGUUUAGCAACGUAUGAAUUAAAAGAUUUUGAAUUCAUAUUAGGUGUGAUUAUUUAGUUUGAUAUUAUUUGUUGUUAUUAUUUGCUGUAAGUAAGAUCUUGCAAAAAGAAGAUGUGCGUAUUGAUAUUGCCAUAGACCAGCUUAAAGGUUUUUUUAUUUUUCCCUUUGCAAGCCAUAGAGAAAAUGGAUUCACAUCUAUUAUGAUUUCAGCAAAAGAUAUUGCAAGUGAAAUGGAAAUAGAACCUAGAUUUCAUGAGAAAAGUAUAAUUCGCAGAAAAAAAAAAUAAAUUUGAUGAAAAUGUUAGUGAACAGGGAAUUUUGUCUCUUGAAGAGUCUUCUAGAAUUAAUUAUUUUGUAUAGUAGAUCAAGCUAUUUCAUCAAUAAGAAUAGAUUUGAAUAAUUUCAAAUGUAUGAUAAUAUGUUUGGAUUUUUGUUUAAUUUCAAAAAAUUACAAUUGUUAAGUGGCUAUGUUUUAAAAACUUAUUGUGUUAAUCUCAAAAAUGCUUUAAAACAUGAUACACUAUCUGACAUAGAUGGUUUAGAUUUGUCUUAAGAGUUGAGAAUUUUAAACGAAGUUUUUCUAGGUGAAAAAAUACUACUUAAUUAUUUUAAAAAAUUGAUUCUUUCCGAAAUGCAUCUAUUGCUCAUAGAAUAUUGUUAACAAUAUUAGUAGCAGUUGCUUCUGCAAAAAGAAGUUUUUUAAAUUAAAAUUAAUAAAAACUUAUUUAAGAUUAACAAUGUUGCAAGAAAGGUCAACUAAAUUAGCUAUAUUGUUUAUUAAGAAAAAUAUAUUAGCAAAAUUAGAAUAUAAAAAUUUGGUUAAUAAUUUCGAACCUCAAAAAAUUAAAAAAAUUAGCUUUAAAAAAUUAUAAUUUUGCAAAAUUUUAAUAAAAAUAACUGAAUUUAUUUAUUAAAAAUAUAAUUUGCAAAUUUUUAUUAAAAUAAUUGAAUUUAUUUAUUAAAAAAUAAAUCCAAAAAUUUAAAUAAUUUAGGGGAUUUUUAUUAAAUUCAAAAAUUUUGCAAUUAUUUUUAUAAUUAUAUUUUUAUUAAUAUAAUUUUUAGUAAAAAAUAAACACUUUAAUUUUGGAAUAUAUGUUUUAUUAAAUUUAGGGGUAUUUUAUGAUUAUAAUUUUUUUAUUUUUUAAAAUAAAAUGAUCUUUUAAUUUUUUUAGAGGUAAAAUUGUUAUUUCGUUUAAAUUAUUUAACAGUAUUAAUGCAAAAGUGGCUAAUUGAUACAAAUUUAAAAAGAAAGGUGGUGCAGAGAACAUGUUAAAAUUUUGUAGUGGUUGAAUGAACAUAAGACAAAAUAAAGGUGGUGCAAUGAUAAAUUUCUUUUUAAAAAAAAAAUACAAUCUAUAAUGCAAUUUUCUCCUAUAAAAAUUAUAUUGCAUAAGUGAGGCUAAAAAAAAAUAUUAGAUAAAUCAACUUUGUGAAUGCUACCAGUCAGGUUGCAUAAAUAAUGCAAAUGUUGAUCGGUCAACACCAUAAGCCUCCUCUCCUCUUGGCGCCUACCAGAAAACAAGAGAUUAAAUAUGGUAAUGGAAAUUGGAUCUAAAAUUUAGAACAUAAGAAAUUUAUAGCCUUAUCAUGAUUGUGUCUAUAGAAGUUAAAUCAUUGGAAAAACCUAGAUUAUGCCUACACACUCUGUAAUGAACUUAACUUUGUUGAAGCUAUCAUUUUGGAAAACAUGGUUGAACCUAUUUCAAUGUCAUGUUUCAUAAGUAAGAACUUGAGAAAGAGGAAUAAUUAAGCCAACAACAUAUUUGAAAAAUUUACUCUUUUCCCACUAAUUUAAUUCAGGGUCUUCUUAAUUUUCUAAUUAAAAUCUACAUGUCAAAUGCAAUUUACAUGACUUACGCCUAAUUAUAUUUCUACAUCGCCAGGUGCGAACACCUAAAUCGUCCCCAUUUUGCCAUAAUUUAAAAAAGCUAAAGAUUGAAGCAUUACCUUAGGCUGUGAUAACUGUGCUGCCUUGUGAAUGGUUAUCACUGUUGUGUGAUGUCUGUUGGUGGUGGCGGUGACGAUGGCUGGGUAUGGGUGAUGGUGGCUGUGAGUUGUGGAUGGCGAAUGGCAAUUUUAGAUGCGGAUUGCGGUGGAUCGUGAAUGGCUGGACCUCGGUCAAUGAAGGAAAAGAGAAAAUAUUUGGCAAACAAAACGCUGCGUUUUUGCCUGUGCGUUUUGAUUUUUCGAAGUUUGACCCAAGAUUUGACUCAAUGCAAAUAUCAUUUUCAAUGUAUUUAUUAUUAUUUUUAUUUUUCAUGAGACUUAUCAAAUUGUGAUUUAAUGGUUAAUAAUUGUUUCAUAUUGUGUCAAAAAAGAGAGGCUCCCCGAAUAAGCCUCGCACCAACUAGUCGAAGUUUGUAUGCGCAUGUGCUUAUGUAUUGCACACUGAAUCAUUGUGUCAAAAAGGAGAGGCUCUGACUCCCUAACAUGCCCUGUACCAACUAGUCUAAUUUUUCAUAAGCAUGUAGCUCAUGCGCUGCACCACAGUGUAAUGCAGCAAAAUCAAGAAAAAAAAGGUGAAAUAUGCUAUUUCUCUUUUAAGAGAAAUUCUAGAAUAUAUAAAAGGUAAUAUAAUUAAAUUUUUUAUAUAAGCACCAGUUAUAUGUUGGUUCUUCAAACUAAAUGUACUUAUACUAUAAAAUUAUUUAGUUAUUGUAUAAAUGACAUGGUACAUUAAAAGAAUUCUAAAAUUUCUCUUUCUACCCCCUUGUCAUUUUCAACUAUUAGUCAAUGAGAUGGCAUUUUACAUGCUGAUAUGUUGCCUAGCAGAAACUCUUAUGUUUUGAGAUUGAUGAUCCCAAGAAAAUGGCACAAAUAUCUCUUCUAAUGGUAUUUUACAGGUUGUUGACCAAAAGUUGCAUGUGUUUUGGAAGACCAAUGGUAUUUGCAUUUUGUUUGCAAAUUCUAGUAAAGUCCGGCUGUACAAGAAUUCUCUUUGGACAAAAGCUCGUUUAUUUCUAAUAUUUUUAGGCUAAUGUUCUUUUAGUCACUAUAUUUUAAAAAAUUCCUCAAAACAUCCCUAUUGUUAAAUUAUUGACACCAUUGUUAGGGUUACUUUUUAUUCUCUUAUAAUAAUGUUUAUUUUUUGGACAUUAAUAAAAAAAUUAGAUUAUCAAUUUAAUUCCAAAAAAUUAAUGUGGAAGACUCUAAUAAGUUAAUAUAUUAAAAUUUUUACUGAUGUCCAAAAAAAUUGGUAAUUUAAUUUUUUUACAAUAUUAAUUUUUUGACAUACAUAAUCUUCUUGGAAAAUUAAUAUAUAUUAUUUUUAUUUUUAUUUUAUUUUUGCGGUUAAAUUAAUAAUUUAAAUUUUAUUUUUAAUUAAUGUCCAAAAAAAUUAUUGUACGAGAGAUAAUAUUAUAAAAGCAAGCUAAAAAGAAAACAAUUACGACAGAUAUGUCAAUUGUUUAACGACCAAGAAUUUUGAGUUAUUUUUAAAAAUAUAAGAAAUCUAAAUAUAAGAAUUAAACGAGUUUUGACACAUUCUUUUUAGUGCUCUAUGACUCUUAUGGAAGUAUAACUUUGAUUAUUAAACACAUGCUUCUGCACGUCUCAGUUCACCGUAGGACUGCCAUGAACAAAUAUCGACAUCGUUGAUUAUUAUAAACACAUCCAUUGCACGUUAGAAUUCCCUCAUGAAAAAAUAUGACUACUUUUUGCGUUCUGGUUUGGUUCAUAGUUCCUAUUUUUGAUCCUUAAUUUUUAUGACUUCGACAAUUAAUUUCUGUAGUUGAAGUAAUAUUAAAUUGUACUAUAUAUGUACACACACACACACUUGCUUAUUACUGCGGAGGACUUGGGAUGUUUUAUUUGUAUGGAUUAAUCUUAACAUAAUUCUGAAGUGUUUUUAGUUACUGCAAGAAAUUGAACGAAUUAAAUUAAAAAAUUAAAGAAAUAAAUAUAUAGUUUUUAUUUUGCGACAUAUUAUAAUGAAAAAGAUCAUCUACUUGUGUUGGCUUUGUUUAGUUUUAAAAAACUUAUGUCACUUAAAGUCAUCUAUAUUAUUAAUCAUUUAUACUUUCUAUUGUUUUUAUCUUUACAAUCAACCUCCGAAUGCACAUUACUGUAUUGUCAACAUGCUCCAAGAAAAUAAGGUUUAGACAACAUGACUAUAACAACGUGUUAGAGUGUUCAAUCUAUUCAAUUCAUUUGAUCUGUAAAAAUCCCCUCGAUAAAAAUCCAAUCCAUGAAUUGACAGAUUAGAUGGAUUGAAAAAUUUUAAAAUCCACAAUUGAUGAAAUGGAUUGGCUUCUCCAAAUCCCUGAAAAUCAGCAAAUCCGUGUGUGUAUAUAAUUUAAAGAAUUUAAAAUUUAAAAAUGUUAUACUACUAGUAAAUAGGUUAAAAUCUAGUUAGGGUGGACGUUGACAACAAUUAAUUAUAUAAGCUUUCAAAUUUCAACUUUUGUAUUGAUUUAAUUCUAAAAUUUAAGUUGAUUUUCAUCCACUGAUCUAGAAACAUCAGGAUUUUUUAUUUUGGUGUGCUAAAGUUCGAAACUUUGAAUGGCAUCCUUAAAAAACGAAUGGUCUUUCAGUAGCUGUCGUCGUGUGUCAUCACCUCCAACCUAUCCUACACCGAAGCUGAAACCAAUUACUCCAGUGUUUUCAUAGUUUUAUUUAAGAGUGAUUAGGGAGUAAAGCUGAAAUGGUAUAUGGCUUCCGGAUUAUAUUUGUUUCAAAACGUAUGUUGAUUGAUUUAAUAGAUGUUGGGGUGGCGGCAUAAAGACCCUAUUAACAUAGCAUUCCUAAACCCGUAUUUAAACUAUUGAUUUAUUUAGAUCUUGUUUAAAUUUGAAUUUGAUUGGCAUGCAGUAAAAUUAUUUUUAUAAUUAAAAUUUUUAUUUAAUUAUUUUAUGAAUUGAAUAGAAAGAAAUUUUUUUUAAUCCGUAUUGAAUUCGCAAAAGUGGAAUGAAUAUGGAUUAUAUCAAAUCCACUUCUAAUCUGCAGAAUUAUGAAUUGAAUUUAGAUUAAUUUUACUAAUUCAUGGAUUGAAUGGGAUUAAAAAUUUAUAACGAUUUUACACUAGUUGUCAAUUAUUAGAAUUUUUUCACAACGCGCUUUUGUAGAAUGUUGUGAGAUUGAACAUCUAUUGAAGAGUUUUUAACAACAUUCUUUCGCUUGUUGUCAAAUAUUAAAAUUUUUUUACAACACACAUUCACCAACCGCUGUUAAAUGGAAGUUUUUUGAAAUUAUUACAAAUUAUCACAAUCUACAAUAUAUUAAAAUCCAGGGUCCAGCUACAUUACGUCAAGGGUUUGGUACCCCAGUCAUUUGUCCUUUUGCAAAUGACCAUUUAGAUCGUAAAGAAAGGUAAUCAACGGCUGAGGUUUAACACUUAGAAAAUGGGUAACCGGCUAUAGCUACAGUAUCAGUAAAAGGAAAACAAAAAGGAAGUAUAUAAUCCUUUGCUCCAGAAGACUCUAGACUUCGUCAAUGAGCCAAACGGAGACAACCGUUUGCUCCAGAAACUCCCCCUUUUGUACCUCCACGGCGACGCCGUUAUCGCCUCCGUCACCAUCCUCUCCGACGCAAGACUCCGCUCGAAUCCAAACGAAUACGACCACUUCAACAAAAAAUCACAGCCGUUGAAUCUCUCCUCCGAGUUGAAGUUCUUGCUGUUAAUCACCACCGCCACAUCAUCAACGCACGGCGUGAUUUCAGAACCGUUCGUGGAGGCGGCCCUCUUCGUCAGCAUUUGGAUUUCGGAUAGAGACUCAAGGGACGCAGUCGCGAGUUGUAGCAAUGAGCUGUCGUCGAGACUCGGUCGGAUUCUCGCCACCAUUAUGGGAACAAAUGGAGACUCGGUCAGAAAAAUUCCAGCUCGGCAUAAGGGAAUUGUGAAGAUGAAAAAAUUUCAGUUUGGCAGAAGGGACUUGUUUUUCAAAACAAACAAAUGUGCUUUUGGUAUUUAUUUUUGCUGAUGAAGCUUUUUUUUUUUAACAACAUCUGAUGUAGUAGGAAUUCAUAGGGCUAGGAUUAGAAGUUAAAAAUUUCAAAGUGGGUGACAAAGUUGUAGUUGUGCUUGUGAGUGCUAAUUUAUAUAUAUAUAUAUAUUUUCUUAUCCUUUUAUCUUUAAUUUAUUCGGAAUAAAUUUCUAGUCUUCUUUUACUACUAGGAAGAUUGAAAUUAAGGUCAUGGAGAAAUUUGGAUGACCAGGUAUUGAUGAUAGGCAACAAAAUAUCAUUUCUUCCAGUUAAGAGAACCCCCAUUUUAGUUAAUAUGGUUGUGGUUGCAACUAUGAUAAUUAGUAAAAUGUUGAAAACACAUUUCUGUUUUUUACACGGUUCAGGUUCUUGACCAUGCUAGCAACUCUGCUUUCCCUAUAAAAAUUUCUUUUUGUUACUGCAAUCUGGUGAUAUAGUGAAUUGAAUGAAUUUUUGGUACUUUCUUUGUUUCGUGCUUGGGUCAAUCAAUAAAAAUAAUUAUGUGGCAUUCCAAAGAUUUUAGUGUUGUCAGAUCAGAUUCAAAAAGAUAAGGUGUAAACUGCACGAUGUUGCUUUUGUUGGAUGAGGUUAUAGGCAUGUAUAGAGAUACCACCACUAUAAAUCUUUAUUUCCAAGUCAUAUUUGGUUUUUGGUACAUGUAGUUGGAUAUCUGAGAGCCUUCUGUCCUCAUUCAAAGUUCAUACAUCUUUGGCAUGUGAAGGGUUUAGUCUUUUCAUCUACGUGAGCGGAGAGGUGAUGCUGCUCCAUCAGGAUUCAGUCUAAUUUUGUAUAAGCUGAUUUCAUCUGUUCAUUUUGUUUUAGUUUUAAAUUUCCUUAUUGAUGACAGAGUGGAGGCAGACUAGCUGAGUUUGCUAUGGCCAAGGAGAGCUUGACAGUUGCUAGGCCGCAAGAAGUUUUUAAGUUUUUGCAGCUGAAGUUGCUGGCAUACCUUGUGCUGGUCUCUCUGCUCACCAGGCCCUCGCUCAGCUCCUUGGUGUCAACCUAGAUGGAAGUGGCUAGCAGAAAAACAUUAUGAUCACUGCUGCCUCAGGAGGUGUAGGUCUCUGUGUCGUUCAGUUGGCAAAGCUUGGAAACACAGGCAUGAUCUGCUUCAAAUGAGUGUGUGUGCGUGUUUUAAGAAUCAGUAGAUGAAGUCUGCAUGCUGCCUCAACCACCACUAACCGAGGACUUUCAUUUACGCAUCUCGUAUUUAGAUUACAAUAUAGUGUAAGCCAAGAACGUGGCAGUUUUUCUGUAAUUAGUUUGUUGUAUUGAUUACAGAAAGGCACCCUUUCAUAAGAUGUAUUUGGGUGCCUCUGCAUUUUCGACAUGGAAGGCUACUUGUUGGCAUUAUUAUAUCACAUAUUAUAUAUUUUACGCAUCUUCUUUCCCAUGUUGUUCGUUUUUAUAACUGUAAGAUAUAUUCUUUUGUAGAUGUUCUUGGAUCAGCAGUUGGGUUUGCAGUCUUCACAAUUGUUUUACUCUCAUGGGCAUUGACAUUUGCCAUCGGAGGGGAGCAUCUCUUUGGCUCUGCUUGGGAUAAACUAGUAAUGUAUAAUGUUGCUGAGAGAUUAGGUUUGAUAGGUUGGAGAUAGUCAUGAAUCUUAAAACUCAUUUCAAUUGUCCUGUAAAUAGUCUAGUGUUGAAACUUGAAACAACAUACAUUAUGUUGAAGGUAAUAUUGGAGCCAUUUUUCUCAAUUAGUAAAAGAACCUUUCCUGUGGCAGAUUCAUGCUUUUAUCUGAAAAAUAAUGUAUCAUCGCAUAUUUUUUUUAUUAAAAAAAUUAUAAACAUGAGAACUCCUGAACCUUUCUUUCGUAUGUAUUAACUUUGUUCGAUAAAAAAUUGUCUACCUUGAAUUUUGAAAUUUGAAACGGUUGCUUUAUUCUCAUCUGAUACGCUGCAAAAAUGCCUUGAUAAAGGGCAAUGUUAUGUGACCAAGUCAGUGACUCGCAACAUAUUAUUUGGAAAAAUAUGUUCUCUUUUAUUCAUUCAAUUUGAAAACAAAUAAUUUGUGCAAUAUUUAAUUGUGCACAGUUUUUAGUAUUAACAAUUGUUUAUUUACCAACCAAUAAUACUUUUAUUUUGUGCUUACUUGAUAAUUUAUAUUUGUUUUUAUGUAAUAUAUUAUGAUUUAUUUAUUAUGUCUUAACUAUAUUUAAUUACGUGCUUUUUUUUUGUCUAUGAUAUAAAAUAUUAAUUUCACAUUUUUUAAGUCUCCAAACAGAUAAAUGGAUAUUAAUGUUUUUUUGAACAUGUUUGAAAACCUUAACAUUAAUCAAGACUGCCUUAUAAUUGUGCUUCUGUAAAAAAGAUUUACAUUUUUUGUUGACUGGAACUGAUUUUAUGAUUACAUGAGCUUACAAUAGAUAUGAUUGCUUGGGAUAGAUGACAGUUUUGACUCAAUCUCAACUAUUCAUGAUUUAAUGGUCACGAUUGUCCCAUUUGACAAUGGUUGGUGAAGCAAGUUGUAGUGUUCGAAUCUUUGUAUUCCGGUCAACCCAUUCCACACAUUAACCCCGCAAAUCUCAAUCGUUCUUUGAUCGUAUCAGACGCUUCAAAUUAUGCCACGGGUACUGUUGACUUAAAACAAUACCAGCCGUUCACUCUCCGUCUAAUGGUUGUGAGGAAAACAUGCAUGAAGCUUAUGAUGGACCGUAAAUUACUACAUUAUAAAAUUAUUUUUCUAUCAAUAGAGCCUCAAUUUUUUUUUGGGCGUCUCUCUUCUUCUCAAUUUCUCUCAAACUGCUUGUAAUCUUAAUUUUCAGCUGUGUUUUAAUAUUUUCCAUAAUUUUUUAUAAAUAAAUUUUGUUUAAUUUUAUAUUUUAAUGUCAAUUACCAUACACAGUAGUCCAUUAUACAAUCUUAUCCUUCAUCUCAAUUAAGCCUAUAUUCCUUGGUUGGUGAUUUACUAUUUUUAAUUUUAUUGUUAUUAUUAUUACGCUAAUUAUCAUCAUCAUUAUCAUCGUUAUUUUGUUUUAAUAAUAAUAAUAAUAAUAAUAAUAAUAAUAAUAAUCUUCUUAUUCUUCUUCUUCUUAGCGACUCAGCGGCUUGUAUGUUAUAAUUCAUCUAAGUGCCAGCUGGAUUCCUUGCACAAAACACCCAUCCUGCGAAAAACUGUUGAUUAGAAAAUCUGCGAUAGGGUGUUUGGUUCAUCAAGCUCAAGAUAGUUUUCUCUUAGUUUUCUUCGGGUAAAAACUCAUUUAAUCCCUGUAUUUUAAGAUUAGUAUCCAUCUAGUCCCUAUAUUUUUAAAAAUGUCUUGAAACAUCCAUACCAUUAAAGUAUUGAUACCCCUACCAUUACUUUUACCCCUACCGUUACUUUUAUUUCUUUUGACUUGCUUUUACAAUAUUACCCUUUUAUAAUAAUUUUUUUGGACAUUAAUAAAAAGAAAAUAAUUAAAUUACCAAUUUAACCCUAGAAAAUUAAAAAAAUUAUAUUAAUUUUUUUGUAAGCACCAUUUGCACACUUGGUAGUUUGCAUACAAUUUUUUACAAUUAAAAAUUAAUAUAAUGUUUUUUAAAUUUUUAGGGUUAAAUUGGUAAUUUAAUUAUUUUCUUUUUUAUUAAUGUCCAAACAAAAAAGUUCUUAUAAAAGGGUAAUAUUAUAAAAGUAAGCGAAAAGAAAUAAAAAGUAACGGUAUGGGUAUUAAUACUUUAAUGGUAGGGAUGUUUCGAAGUAUUUUAAAAAAUAUAGGAACUAAAUGGAUACUAAUCUUAAAAUAUAGGGACUAAAUGAGCUUUUACCCAUUUUCUUCUUCUUUUAAUUUAUACUUUACCUCAAUUUAGACCGUCAUUUUUCAUUGAUCAAUAUUCAUUUAUUUAUAAUAAUAAUAAUAUUAUUAUUAUUAUCCGGUACAUAUUUUUUCUUCACAUUUUUUUUCCAAUCUAGUUUUCAUUUAUUUUACUCAUGCACAAAUUUUUCAGAAAAAAAUUAAUUAUAUGGUCACUUUACUGUAAAUUAAUAUCACGCCUCUUUCAUGAUUAAAUUUGAUAUUUCCCCUUCCCCCCCCCCCAGGUACGCAAUGCAAUACCUGACCCUACCUUUAAAUCCACUUCCUAAAAUUUUCGUCCCUAUUUUCAAAAAUUUCAAAUCCAUCUUACCCCAACCCAUACUUGCACGCUUCCAAUGUCUUGUUUUUAACCAUUACUUGCAUGCACCCUUUUUCCUUUAUUUGCAUGCGGUACUUAAUCACUUCCAACCCAUUACAGUCGUUCAUUUUUGGUCAAAAAGCGGAUCCCCUGCAGGUUAUCGGGCCAUUACCUUUUUGUCAGGUUACUAGCUACCGUGCUGUGUCUCUUCUUCAGCCAUUAGAUUAAAUCCAACGGUCACUCUGCUACAAGACAAAUGACUUGGGUACCAAACCCCUGAUGCAAAGUAGCUGCGCCCUAAAAUCCAUUAUCUCCAAUCAACUUUUUGUUGAUAAUCAUUUUAAAAUUUAUUAAUUUGUUUUCCGCAAAAGUACUUUAUAACUGUAACAGAUAGAAUUUCGAUGUUAGUGCUCAACAUUAAGAUAUUGUUUGCAACUUUGUAUGCCUUUUUUUUUCCUUAAAUUUACUUUGUAUAUUCUUAUUUCUACAUAAAACAAGAUUUUAAUGUAAUAAAUAGAACUUUUUUUAGUAGAAUUGAAUUUAUGAAUUUCUUGUCAUUUCUGCGUGCAUUUAUUGUGUAGUUUAUUGAAAGACUCUUUAAAAAAUUUGUAUGCAGGAAAAAAAAAGAUAAAUAAAUAAAGAUUAUACAACAUUCAUCGGAAUGUAUGGAUGAUGUAUGUGUCUUCUGGUACAAUAUUGACCUCGUUCGCACAGUAUGAUGUACUCCUUUUUUUUUCCCCCCAAAUGAAUAAAAUACUUUUGUACUAUUAAGACUUAAAAAUUAAACGCUUUCAAAACUCAAAUGAGUACGAAAAGUAAAUCACAUGAACUUCUCCUCUGCCUAUAUAUAUAUAUAACCUCGUACAUCACCACAAACCAUAGAUUAAUUUGAGAAUCUUUGCCAAGUAUAACUGUAAGCUAGCUUACUCUACAUCUAUAUAUCCAAUGUCUUCUUGCAUUAAUGCCUCAACCUUGGUUACCUCUGUAAAUGGUUUCAAAUGUCUUCCUCUUACAACAAAUAAAGCAGCCAUCAGAAUCAUGGCCAAAAAUAAGCCAGUCCAAUGCCUUGUCAGCGCCAAAUAUGAUAAUUUGACAGUUGAUAGGAGAUCAGCAAACUACCAACCUUCAAUUUGGGACCAUGAUUUUUUGCAGUCACUGAAUAGCAAGUAUACGGUAUUGAUUAUUAUUAUUAUUAUUAUUAAUACGUAUUAAUUUCCUUUGUUCAUUUCAAAUUGGGACCAUGAAUAACUAAAAACUAAAUGCUGUGCAUGUAACCGAGCCUGGAUCAGUUGGAGCUGAUUGAUAACUUGCAAAGACUUGGAUUGGCUUAUCGUUUUGAGACUGAGAUUAGGAACAUAUUGCACAAUAUCUACAACAGUAAUAAAGAUUAUGUUUGGAGAAAAGAAAAUCUGUAUGCAACGUCCCUUGAAUUAAGACUACUUAGACAACAUGGCUAUCCUGUUUCUCAAGGUACAUUUAAUUAAUUCGCUUCCUUCUUCAUGCACAUGCAUGAUCUGAAUACUUGAAUCGAUCUCUUUGUUUUUUUUUUUAUUAUUUAAAUGUAAAGAAAUGGACGAAACCCAAAUCAGUUUUAUAACUCUCUAUCUCCUGAGGGUGCCGCCCGCGCCCGGUCGUACUCAUAACCGCAUCAGGUCUCCAAGGUGAACAGCCUCUGGUCGAUGGAACAAUGUAGGCAAGGGAAGUCGGCAAAAUGGAUCCGUAACUUCGGGAAAAGGAUUGGCUCUGAGGGCUGGGCACGGGGGUCCCAGUCCCGAACCCGUCGGCUGUCGGCGGACUGCUCGAAAAGGGCGCCGCUGGGGAUACUUCAAUCAUUCUCUAAUUAAUAUAUGGAUGCAAAAAUUUUGACGAAUGCAACUUUUCUUGGUUGAAUGCUGCAGAGGUUUUCAAUGGUUUUAAAGACGACCAGGGAGGCUUCAUUUAUGAUGAUUUCAAGGGAAUAUUGAGCUUGCACGAAGCCUCGUAUUACAGCUUAGAAGGAGAAAGCAUCAUGGAGGAGGCCUGGCAAUUUACCAGUAAACAUCUUAAAGAAGUGAUGAUCAGGAAGAGCAUGUAUUUGUCGCAGAACAAGCGAAGCGUGCAGUGGAGCUCCCUCUGCAUUGGAAAGUCCCAAUGUUAGGGGCAAGGUGGUUCAUACACGUUUAUGAGAAAAGAGAGGACAAGAACCACCUUUUACUUGAGCUCGCUAAGUUGGAGUUUAACACUUUGCAGGCAAUUUACCAGGAAGAACUUAAAGACAUUUCAGGGUAUCCAUUUGAUUGCAUAACUCAUAUAUAUAUAGACAGACACACACACACACACAUCAAAGAUUUGAUUUUAUAAUUUACAUAACUUGUACAAUUUAAUCACAUGUAUAUUAAAUUAUUCUUAGGUGCAAACUCCGCCUUUUACAGAAGUUUAAAGGCAUGAGCUGUACUUUAUUUUUUUUUUUAUAUUAAUCACGAGGUAUCCUGGGGAGAGCCCCAACUGUGGGAAGCACCUUCGGAGUAUUAAAAAUUCAGUAUGUAAAAUGUUAAUUUCACCUCUCCCGCCGUUCCGUUCCUUUGAUUUAUCCUUUUUAAAUUACGAUGCUUUUGUCUCAAAAAUAAUAAAUUGUAAUUAGCUUUAUUUUCUAUGUCAUGUGCAUCAGUGACUUGGCUUACUACAAGCCUGCUUAGUGGAGGCAAAAUGGUACCAUAGUAAGUACACGCCAACGCUGGGAGAAUUCUUGGAAAAUGGAUUGGUAUCAAUAGGAGGCCCCAUGGGUACAAUGACUGCAUACCUUUCUGGGACAAAUCCAAUCAUUGAGAAGGAACUAGAAUUUUUAGAAAGUAAUCAAGAUAUAAUUCACUGGUCAUUCAAGAUUCUUCGUCUUCAAGAUGAUUUGGGAACUUCAUCGGUAUUU